This 47205-nucleotide long non-coding RNA is filed under the name Phoenix dactylifera (date palm). RNAcentral's name for it is "long non-coding RNA (PDAC_LNC004724)". Lineage: Eukaryota; Viridiplantae; Streptophyta; Magnoliopsida; Arecales; Arecaceae. The record is from RNAcentral.
CAGUUCAAAGUUAUUUGCUCUUCUUCCAUGGUGCCUCCAUCUACGAGGAUCGUUGACCUUUAGUUACCUUCUUUUUGAGCUCUAUCCUCGCUGCAACUGUUAUCUUUUAUAUAUCUUCUUGUUGCCACAUCAUCAGACAAGUCAAUCAGCCAAUUGCUUCUCUUCCAUGGUGCCUUUGUCUACGAGGAUUGUCGACCUUCGGUUGUCUUCUCUUUAAGCUCUGUUCUCGCUGCAACUAUCAUCUUUUAUGUGUCUUCUCGCGGUCAUAUUAUCAGAUAAGUCAAUCAGCCACAUUGACAGAUAUGUUAGUAUGUCACGUUAGUCAGGCACACCAGUCUGCUAUGUUAGUCACCUGUGUCAGUAGACACAUUAGUUUGCUGUGUCAGUUAGCUACGUCAACAUUAUCAAACAUAUCAGUUUGCUACGUAAGCUUCUUAGUCUGUCGCAUCAGUUUUUAAGCUGCUAUGCCAGCUUCUAUUCUACAAUAUCAAAUUCUGUAUUGUCACAUUGGUUUGGAACAUCAGCCUGUCAUAUCGGUUUUUGAGUUGUUAUAUCAACUCCUAAUCUGUUAUAUUAACUUCUAAGCUGCUAUAACAGCUCAUGGUCUGCCACAUCAGGCUCUAUUCUGCCACAUCAGGUUAUAUACUGCCACAUCAACUCUUGAUCUAUCACCAUAUCAUCCUCUGUGCUGCUAUGUCAGUUCUUAGUGUAUCACGUUAGUUUCUAAGCUGCUACUUCAGCUCUUGAUCUAGUAGGUUAGUUUCUAGGUACAUUCGUGAUCUAGUUUUCAAACUCAAGUUGGCACCUAUAGUACUAUUUUGAGUUUGAAAAGGAAUGUUAGCAUAAUUUUAGAGAUCACGUAUCAGCCUAUAUUAUUUUUUUUUUAUUAGCGUGAUCCUGUAUCGUCAGUAUUAUUUUUUUUGUUAGCGCGAUCUUUUAUCGAUCACUAUUAUUUUUCUUUGUCAGCAUAAUCUUGUUAGAAUGAUUUUAGGAUCACAUAACAACUAAUAUUAACAAGUAUUAUUUUUCUUUAUUAGCAUAAACUAUAUUAAUUCAUAUUAUUUUUCUUAUAUGGAAUAUGUACAUGAAUAUAUAUAACCUCCGAGAUGUACCUAAUAUAACAGAAUAGAGAAAUAAAAUCAUAUUUCUCUCAUUUUCUUUUAUUUUCCUCCUCUUCUGUAAAUAUUUUAACACCAGGAAUCCAAUAUAUUGAUGUGGAUAUGUGAGUGAAAUGACGAUUAACCAAAGCUUCUUAACCCAUUCUCACCAUUCCAACUUCCGAUUAACUAAUAUUUGAAACACACAUUGAUGUUCUUGGAUCAAGAGAAGUGAUGGAAAGGAUUCAAAGACAAUAGAGUAUCUCUGCACAAGUAUCAGAACUAGUUUUUUUUUUUACAACAUAAAUAAUACCACACUUGAAAUUUACCAGCUAUUCUUCAUUGUAACACACCAAUACAGUUAAUAUCUAUUCAUGCCAUACCUUGUAAUCAUAUCCACCAACUAUUUUAUGCAGCACCUCUUUAAGACUGGCACAACAAUCUCUCUUUUGGCAGCUACUUUUAUAAUUAUCCAACUAAUUGAGAUGAUUAAUAGCUCGGUUGAGGUGUGACCUCAAUUCUAAGUAAUCUUAAGCAAUCUGGAUCAGAUUCAAGUUUUUUUCUUGAAGGCAACAGGAUAUCUUAGAGGCAUAUCAUUGGUUGAUCAUUUGUUUCUAGAAUCCAAGCUCCACCCUCUCAUUAAGUUUCUUGUUCAACUCUUCUCUUGAGGGCAGUUCACCAUCUCCUUUCAUGAUAGCAGACCACCAGUCCUUUAUUUCAUCCUGCAAUCACCAAGCACCAGCAAAAUCAAUAAUUAUGGAUGAGCAUUAGAAUCACUGAUUAAUCUGACCCGAAACACAGAAGAUUUUGGAGCCUUCUUCAAAUUUCAAAUUUUUCAAUAAAAAAAACAAAUUAAUGGGAUAAUGAAUUGAAUGGCUUAAAAUGCAAAUAUAAGACAUAUUUGGAGAAAUGAAAUAUAGUUUGGCAUAAGAUAAAUCAGGAUGAUUUAAAGAGUAGACAAAAGAAGAGUAAACCAUGGUGUUCCCAGGACAAAUUUCAUCUAGAAAAUUAAAUAAGUACUCAAGGGAGAGAGGAGGUCUAUAACAAAGGCUCCACUAUCAGGUCCCCAACAGAUACAAGGAACAAAGCACUGAGGCAUUAAACACCAAACAAUGUACCAUUUAUAAAGAGCAGGUCGAUCAGGAACAGCACCUAAGAUCUCUGCUUGGCUGCUGCUUAGCCUGCUAAGCCUAAUGCUAACACCAUUGGAUAACCUGCAUGUAAUUCUAGCUUCCUUCACUUCUGUACUUCGAGGUUGCUUCCAUCAUGCACUCGAUAGGGAAAAGAUAUAUAACUAAAAUUUGUUUAAAUGACUAUCAACCAAUAAUAUGGAUAUGGUGCGGCAGCAUCCAAAUAGGCCCCUAAAGAUGCAGUCAUCAACCCCAAAAUUAUUUCUUAGCUUCUGCUUUCUAUCAAUUGAACAUUACCAAGUUGAUAUCAAAAAUCUCCUGCAAAAGCUUUAAGUUCGCACAAUCAUAUAUGAAUCUCUACUGAUGGUGCUGAGAAAGGCAUGUCGAAGGCAAGGCUCGCUGACCAGCAUGUGAGUCUUGACAAAUAUAAUUUUAAGACACUCGUGUCAAGAUACUCGGAAAGGUCUGGUCUAUGAUGAAACAAGAAGAAUGAGGGUGAAUUUCAAACAGACAGCUAACUUAUUCCACCAACAAGAUAAUGAUAAUUUCAGGAUCAACCUGACCACUUGAGCAAAAGGAGGAAAUGUGAAACAAUUAUAAGUUUCUUAACAACAGGACCAUAGCAUAAAAACUGAAAGGCUGCAAAUUCUGCUACAUCAUGUUUAAAAAAGGCUGUUGUGUCCAUGAAGUGGGUUGGACGUUGGAGCAUAGCACUUGACAAUAUUCAAUAGACAUAGUAAUAGAUAGAAUCCUAAGCCGUAAAUGUUACCUCAAGAAAAUCAUCAUCAGACACAGUAUGAUAUUUCACAAGGCAUGUGGAACUCCCUAUGCUUACAGAAAGGCAGUUUCCAAAACUUGUACCUGUGAAAUCAAAGAAAUACCAUUGUAAAAGUUCUGAAUGAAAAAUAAAUCUGCAAGUCAAUCUUUAGAUGGCACUGAUUUUAUGUCUAACAUCAACUAUUACCUUUCUUUCAGAAAUAAAAAAGAUAAGCAAUUUUUGAUAAAGAUCGUAAGAGAUAAUCUACUAUUUCACAAACAAGGAGCGGGAAGGGUAGAAUGUCACCAUUAAUGCGAGCCACAUGAUACCCUGUUCCCCCCAGUCCUUCCUCCCACUUUCCGAGCCGCAGGCGCACGAAAAAACCUUCUACGCUAAAUUGGGCAACUGGUGAUUUCAGCAACCUAUAAAAUUCAUAGAUUACAAUAAUGAUUAGUAAUUACAAAAAUAGGAUAUUUGAAAUAAGAACAAUUAAAUCUCCAUGAACCUAUCCUACCUGACCCCUUUAAAGGAACCAAACAACAGGGACCUAAGAAAAUAUUACAGAAUUUAGGCAUCAUAAUUAUUUCCUAACAUUGAUAAAUAUGACUUAGGAAAGUUAUCCAAUUCCAUCUAUUUCAUGAUUUAGUAAUUACAUGGACCAGUAAAAGUUCUUUGGAUUAUAUAUCUGCAAUGCACCAGGGUCUUAAAGCUCAAACUAUAACAAGGUUUUCCGUACUCACUAGUACUGCCUGCCAUUUGGCAUACUAUACCACCCCAAUAAGAUACCGGCACAGUAUGAGGGCUCAAUACGGUACUGUGCUGACACAUGGUACAGCCGUAUAGCUGCUGUCUCACCUCCAACAUGUACCAUGCAUUGAUACAGGGUUGAACCCAGCCCAUACCAGCAAGCUACAGGGUCCAUUACCAAAACUAAAAACCUAUCUGCAACUUAGUUUCUGAAGCUGAAGAUAUAAUUGAGACAGGCAUUUCCUAGGGAAAAGAAAAGCCAAACAAGGUAAAUUUAUAUUAGCAAUCAUAGUAAUUAUUGAACCAUUAACUCAAGAAAAUAUGCAUUUCAGCAAUGCCUGUCUCUUUAGUGUAAAAGAAGAACAAGAUUCAGUCAGGAAAAACAAAUAAAAAACAAUUCAUUUUAUUGGCAAGAGAACAAGCCACCAGUCUGCACUAAUACAUAAUAAUUAGUAACUACUAUAUAAAGCAAAAGACCUUUUAACCAAUUUCUUUCCAAAUAAUUUUAUUAAAUGCAUGUGGCUGAGAUUAGCAAAAACAUUAUUGAAAACUGGUAACUUGUGUCACCUGAUAGAAUACAAUUUGCAGACAUUGUGAUUGCUCACUUGAUCAAGUAUUUUGUCUUUAAAUCAUACUCCGACUUCAAAAUUUCUAUCUAAUUCCAGAUUUUCUGAAGAAUGUAUCUUCAGUGUAUGAUCAUGUCAUAAAAAUCAAAGAGUAGAGAAGUAGGACCAUUGUUAUGUAUUUCCAGAUCAUCAGUAUCUCACUACACAACUCCCUUAUAAUUGUAGCAAGGACAAGAAAUUUGUCACUUAGACAAACUUCCAGUCUUCAUAAACUAUUUGGACUUACGAACAUCCACAUUCUAGAUCAUAUUUUUCAUAUAUGUCUAGAAUAAAAAUAGCUCUCUUGUACAAUGGGUUGCCUCUGUGCAUAACUAAGAAAGACAAACUUCAUGACAAUGUCCUACAACGUGGCAAUGCAAAUACUAAAACAUGUACUGUUACCAAAAAAAAUGUUACUGAAAAGUAAAUACAUAGAACUAAUAACUCUAUAUGUGUAAAAUCAUAGCAACUAUCACACGGACAUAGCCAUCAAGUCCUUAAAGUGGACUUCAUGGUCAUGCUCACCCUGAUAAAUAUUUAUAUUGAUUUCAUUAUCAAUAUGCUGCAGGGUAAUGUUUUACAUCAGCAAGCAUACAUUAUGAAAAGUCAAAACAUUCAUGAUUUUGAUGCAUCCUAGAAGAACAUAUGCUUCAAGGAAAUUAGUGCAGGAAACUAUAUUUUGAGCAACAUGAUUGGUGAUUGCUAGCAAGAAGUGCUGCAGAAACCGCUAUUAGGAUAUCAACAUCAUCAUCAUUAAAUUCCAGGUUUUCUUCUACCUGAUGACAUCAAUGCGAGAUAAACGAAGCCUCCUUAUUGUCUCAAAAAUUUCAGUUGGCUCAUCACGUACUUCAGUAGCCAUAAAAUUACAGAAUGGUAUUAUACAAUUUUCCUUUAACUCAUCAUCUUCUGAAUUCAAAGCCCUGCCCUUCAAUUUAAUUCUCCUUUCUGCCAGAUCCUCGUUGACUGGUUUUGAAUAUAAACCACUUGUAUUAGGGCCUGCAACUUCAUCAACACUGCUGCUUCCAUGUACUGCAAGCUUGGUCUUCACUCUUGACUCUCUUAUUGGAGGAAUUUCAUAUAUGCUGACAUGCUGCUGAUGCUCCUGUUUGUCUUCAGACCAUAAAACACCUCUUCCAUCAUAAUUCGCAGAACUAUGUUGUCCAUGACUUCCAUCAACCUUGCCAGAGUUCUCAUUAUUAACAAUGAAAGAAUUAUCACUGCUAUUUUUUCCUUUUGAGGAUGCACGCGGACAUGCAAUGGCCCAGUGGUCGAGCUGAAAACAUCGAAUGCAUAAACCGAAUGGCAUAUCUGUGCCAUCUUGUGAAUUCAUAUAUUUCAGAAGAUCCUCGAGAUCAGAUUCAACUAGCUCAGAACAUUCUCUUAAGCUGUGACCAGUCUUUCCACAAAAGAAGCAGAUUAUGGCUGCACUUGAUGUGCCAUCUGAAAUUUUUGGAGGCACGAUAUGUCUAAGGGCACCCAAUCUCUUUGCAAAGAGAGAUGCUAUUGAUUCUGAGUUUCUAAAUCUUUGUGAAGGUUGUAUUGGACUUAGCUUAGAUGUGAGCUUGUGAUCCCCUGGCUCCUUUAAAUCAUAUGAAUCUGUAGAACACGUUGGAUAUGGCUUCAUUCCUCCAUUUCUAGCACCCCUUCUUGUUUCUAGGGAGAGGCUACAGUUCUCUGAAUUUUUAUGCUCCUUCCCAGGAGCAACUUUACCUUGAGAAGGAGAGCUUAACAUACUAUUUUCAUUAUUGAGAUUCUGAGUUGCUCCUGCACCCAGAUUGCAAGGUACUGGAUUUAAUAUUGGUGACGAAGCUUUUGGCAACAGCCGAGUUAUCCAUAAGUUCUGACAAAAACCACUUCUGUUGUCGAAUAACUGAUUUAAAGAGCUAUUUGGAAUUGAACCAGGUACUCCAGUUCCCUUGUCUUUAGGAGAUCCAGAACCGCUCUUUGCUGAAGAGCUUGAAGAUCCAAUGUUGUUCACAGUGCAAGCCUGUUUUACUUUCUGAUUAACAGUAGAGCUAGUGGAAGAUAAAAUGAUUGUGUUUGAUGGAAACUCCACUUGAUAAGUACCCUGGUCAAGCCUCUCACCUGAAAAAGAUACAAUAGUAUCUAAUUUGCCACCCUCCCUAUCGCAGACUGAAUGAGGGCUGCCAAUGGCAAAAGGUUUACCAGUAACAUGAAGUUCUUUUGAAACAUCAUGUGUCUCCUGACUUGUUACAGUAGUGUUUAUGUUUAUAUUCAAUUCCAGACUAUCCCCGUCCACAUGAUUACCAUAAUCCAGUUGCUCUCUCAUAACUUCUAGUUUUUUCAAGGCAUCAGCUUCUCUUUGAUUAUUAUGAUAAUUUGGCCCACUAUGUGCGGUGACGUUUGGACAGUAGAGAGAUUGAAAAAUGGAGUUAAAACCCGUUGUUCUGCAGGCAAUGCUGUCGCUUUUAUCAUCUGUCAAGGGAAAAGGACCCAAGCUUUCUUUCCUAGUGUUAGACGAUUUUGGAACAAUUGCCAAGGAAGGUGCUAUUUGACCAUGUCUGGAAAAACCAUUAGUUAUGGUUGAAAUCCAAUUCAUAAAAGAGUUUUCUUUUCUGAGAAAAGAUCCUGAGCAAGAGCUCUCAUUGCUUUCUUUUUUGGAUCUUUUGCUUCCUAGGGACAUCUUUGAGUUGCAACUCCGUGCUCGUUUCUGUGUUGAUGCUAAACUUCUGCUAGUACUGCUUUCAACACUUUCAUUGCUGUCCCCUCUCUCUAUUGAAACUCUCCCACUGUCUUCAACAUAGCGAACUUUUUCUUUACCCUUUUUCAGACUUCUAGGAUUUGCAUUGCAUGCUGAUUGAGACUCAAAUAAAGCAGGCUCAUCUUUUGUGUUUGUAUUUGCUUGCCAAGUUUCAUUAUUGCCAACAUCCUGAGAUUGCGACACCGCAGCCGUACCAACCUUGCUCAUAAUAUUAAUGUCUACAGAUAGCACAUCACCUGAACAUGGUUUACCAAGAAUAUGGAAGCCAGUAGACUGCUCAGUGAUCCUUUCAGUAUUGUCUUCUGCAUCACCUAAUUCCAAGCCAGCAUCCCCGCACUCUGCAGAACCUGAGCUUGAGGCUGAUUUCACAUUGCUUCCAUUUUUUGCUAACAUAGAAUCUUCAUGAGCAGAUGCUUCGACCAAGCCUGAUGCCUGGUGCUUCUUUAUUCUAAUCAUUUCUUUGUGAUGGUCAUUUGAGGUUCCAAUAUGGGAUGCACACUCAACUUCAAUCUGUGCUUGAUCAGGCUUCAGCUCUUUUAGGCUACAUGAUAUAGAAUUGGUACUCAGGUCAUUAUUAUAUGGACCUACACAAUGACAAGGUACAUAUUUCAGAUGUGAGCUGAUAGAGCAAAAAAUGUGAAUUUGCAGUGGAAAUACCUGCAAUAAAAAUCUUAUCAUCAGUAGUAUCAGCUGCAACUGUCUCAGGAUCGAUGAUGCCAAAACCCUUGCUGUUUCUGGGCAGGCAUAUGCCAGUUUCCUUCUUAUCUGACUCAUCAUGCUCAUACUUAUCAUCUAAAAUUGCUCCUUCCAUUUUGUUCAGGUCUCCAUGAGAUCCUGCAACUAGAAUUAUAUUUGCAAUUAGAAUGGGCUUGUGAAGAUGGCUUUCGUGAUGAAUCUGAAACACACAUUACAGAAUCCUUAUAAUUGAAGUUUAAUGGACACAUAGUUGUUUUUGUUCACACUUACUUGAAUCUUGUUCGCAUAGCCUUGUCAGAAAGGCAGGUUGCAUGUCGACAGUUCUCCUAGGAGAGCUCGGCAGGUUUACUCUUUUAGAAUUCCUAUUAUCAGAAUUUAAUUCAAUCUGCAUAUUUUUCAUGUUCCCCACAGCAAUAUCUCCAACAUUGCCACUCUCCCCACCAUUAGUAUGCUGCGGUGAUGAAAUUAUUAUAUUGAAUGAUUCUGUAUUCCACAAAAGAGAGGCUUUCUUUUCAGCUAAACUGGAACCAGCAUAUUUAAGACUCAGUCCCUCGUGUGGAGACCACACGAGUUCUGAGAGAGGAGUGGUGGAAAUGAAUACCAUAUCUGCCCUUGAAGCUGCAUUUGCACCUGCACCUGCACCUGAAUCUUUAUUUAUUAUGCUUUCAUUACACCUUUCGGCAGAGUCCAAGACAUGUAUAUCUGCCAUUGAUUCCUCAAAGAAAUUUUCAAGAUCUGCUCACAGCAAAUACUUUAGCAGGAUUUUUUUUUCCAAAAAUAUAAAUCAAAUCCAGGACAGUUUAUUCCAUGCCUCUAUAUAUGUAAACUAUGCUAAUAUAAGAAGAAAAUUGAAAAAAAAGAACAAAUACACCUAUAAAGCAAAGCAGGAACUUGAGCAGAUGCACUAGCCAGUGUCCUUACAUGGAGGGAACAAGCACAAAAAUGUGAACGCUAUCUAGAAAUGUAUAAUCUACUCAAAUGCAAAGAAGACCAACUUUACCAAAAUGCGUGCAGGAAAACAAAUAUCUAGAUGCAUUACAAGAAUUCAGUUUACAGUUGGAAGCAUGCAGAGUAGUUUUCGAAGUAUAUUUCAGUCGUCAUCCCAUAGUCUCUGCAGCUUAUAUGGUUUAAGCAACUUCAAUCAACACAAAUAUGGUAAAAACAAAUACAAUAAAAAGGGCAGAUCAAGUGGUGUUGUCGAAUGCUAGCAUAGCUAUGAUGCAUUAAAUUAGUUUCUGUUCAUCAUUUGAGAACUGAUCAUAAUGAGAUAAGCUGCCAUCCUCUGAUAGUGGUUUGCAAGGAUACACAACUAGGGAGCUAGUCAUAUUAGAUUAGAAAAUCAACCUGCUGACAUUUUUAUAGAUGCUCUAUGUUGUAAAGACCUUUGACCUACUUGCCUAAAGUUGGGUAAGCUUGAUCUAUGUGCCCCAACUUGGAGGGAUGGGUUGCUUAUUUGAUAAUCAGCACUGUAUGAUUGUCCUUAUGGUAUAAAGCUUUAUGCGUGCACGUUCGUGUAUGUCUUUGGACAGACUAAUAUCAUCAGGUGUCAUACAGGUAAUUACAACUCUAUAAGAGAAAGGGAAGCCCAACAUAAUGAAUUAGAUCUUUCUGGUUCUAUUGGAGGCAUAGACCCUCUUUCUCUUCUUUUAUUUUACCUUUACUAGAAUGUGCUAAAUGUGGUGCACAUGGUAUGGAGAUGGAUGACCUCCUAAAAAGAGCUCACACACUACUUGGGAGUUUGCUUUUAGUAAUACAAUAAUGUUCUGCAGAAGCCUGAAAACCUACUGCAGUCAUGUGCGCUAAAAUCUUGUGUUUGAGAAAAUUUAUUGUUCUUCAUCAUUAUACAAAGGUCUCAAGAAUGCUUAGACCAUAUUUUAAUAAAAUGCUGACAAAAUAAUGCUAAUUGUUUCUAAUUAUUUCUCAGUAAUAAACAACUAAUGCGACCUCAAUGAUGCGAAAUUUUCAUGAGUAGCAUGACUUUGUAACAGAAAAAGUACAGCCAACCCAGCCUGAAAUCAAAACAUGCAGCGAUUCCAUCUCUGCAGUACCACAAGCAAUGAGUCCUAUAUCAUGUCUUUGAACAAAAACCAACAACAGAAUGUUGGUUUCAAAGAAUAUGGAAGAGGAAGACUGAUAGACCAAGUACCUCCAAAUGCAAACUAGGGGUCAGACUAGGAAACGAAUACUGAUGUUGGCAUGUACAAAUACACCAUUCCCCGAUUAUAUAUUUAUAUAUAUAAAUCUAUGGUUAUAUUAAUGCAUUAUAGACUACAUUCUUCUUCACAAGACAGUUCUCUAUAAAUGUUGCUUCUAGGCUGAGCAGAAAGCUAGAAAUAUUACCCAUUGCAAGUCAGCAGACUCCUAAACCAACAAAAGAACUGGAUGGCUUAGAACAAAUGGCUCAUAGAUCAAAUAAUAUCUUUUAUGCAAAAGUACACAAAUACAAAGACCACUCUGCAUGAGUCACAUAGAUAAGGAUGAAUCAGAGUCUGACAUGCAUAUGUACAUCACAUAUAUAUAAAUGCCUUCACAGAUGCAUCCUGGUUUUCGUGGUGGAUCAACAAAGAGCAUUGAGAGUUACUUAACAAGAGCACAAAAUCUCACAAAUGUACAAAUCUUUGUAAAGUAGCAAUAAGAAGUAUAUAUAAUGGAAAUGUAAAACAAAAAUAGCAUAAUAUGUAAUCUUUUGAAUGAGGGGACAAGUGUUAUAAAGUUGCUUAUCGCCAUAAUGUGGAAUCAUAGUACUUGAAGUGACCAUGCUGACUAUUUGUGGUAAAGAAAGCCCCAACAAGGACAAAAUUCUGAAGUUAGAUAGCAGUCUGUGAUAUCAGCUACAUCAAUUGUAUCAGAUUGGGCAUUGUAAGUGGAGGUUGAAGUAGAUGGAAUAUAUAAAACACAAGUGAUAGAGCUCUGAAGAAAUUGAUUAGUAAUUCACGCAAAGAAGAUGCACGUGAAGAACCAACCAAUGAACUAAGAUAAGUUAAUUAUGUGAAAAGUGUGCUGCAUCAAGCCAUGUUAAAAUAAUGCAAAUUGAAGUACCAAUGGUAUGAUGACACUAGUAGGAUUUUGAAGGAUAUUUUUUCUAAAUAGCAGUAACCCAAAAAAUAAGUACGGUCAUUUGCUUAUUGUUAAGAACAGUAAAAUCUCACCAAAGUACAGGAGUUUGUGAGAAUAAUGUGGAGUGCAUUGGAAUAUAAGGCCAAGAUAAGAUGUAGGUAUGUUAGUUUGUGCACUCUUUGUCACCAUAUGAUAGCAAAACCAUAGAACUCACAGCACAAACCCUGGGGAAGGGGUAUUAGAACCUACAGAAGAUAUCAAAGAAUGUGAAGAUCCACAGCAUGAACCAAUCGAAGAACUUAGACAAUUGUUUAGAGAAAAAAGGAAAAGUAAGUCGAAGAAGAACUUAGACAAUCAAUGAAUGGCAUUCUAAUGAAGCUCCAAAUAAGUCCUGCAGUGUGCAGAUCACUAAGAAUGCAUUAGAGAGAUCAUGGAAGCGAUGUUAUUCUUGAAACAUUCGGCAACCAUCAGGGAAGCAAGCCCAAGAAAACAAGAAAGGUGGACAGAAUCCUUCACCUCAAAGCAUCAAAAGAAUUGAUCCUGUAGCUUAUAAAUCCAUUGGAGUACACUAUCAAUGGGGAUCAUGAUACACCAUAGAUGCUUGUGCUCGGUUCAGGCAAACUGUAUGGCUGACAUGAAGAAAGCAAAAUACUCAAACCAAGCACAUUAAUCCUGCAUGGAUUUAGAUAAAGCAUGAAGUAGGCAACAUACAUGGCAUGGUGGAUAAGGAAUCUUGGUUGUGACUGCAUUCAUGAUAGUCACAAGACUCACAACAAAGAGUCACACUAGUCAAGUUGAGCUUUGAACAAAAAUAAAAGACGGUUUAUACUUUAUACGGAAUUCCAAUCUUUUUAACAUUAAUCUAUGUUGUAGGAAAGCAUGUCAGUCAUACCAGAAGAGAAAAAAAAGGAGAAAAAUAAACAAAGAAAGAAAUGGCAGUGGUAAAAGUUAUAUUGUUAAAAAAAUUAUAGGAGUGUUUUGCUAUAUUUUUUGAGGAAAGUUACCUGGCACAAUGGAGUUUGUAUGGUUCUAUUAACUCGGGUUCCUCAGAUAACACAGAAAUAAAAAUUAGGAGCAAAAUAUCAAAGGGUACCCAAUAUACAAUUACGAGAAAAAAUAACCUAUAAUUUAUCAAUCAAUGAACUCUAGAAUUAAGACAUCCAUAUUAUUCAGCAUAAGAACAGAACAUAAUUAGACACAUUUUCCUGAAACCGAAUCAAAAUCCAACACAUUAGGAUCUAGAAUUUAUAGUUAGAAUUUCUCAACAUACAUGCCCGAAUUAUGUUCUGACAUCUUCACAGAGAAUGUUCAUUUUCACGUAGCAAACUGCAGAGCCAGAGGGCAGGAAUCGAAAAAUCUUCUAUCAGGGAAUGCUUUAAAGAAUCAAAAAUUUAUAGAUUAAUAGAACUAACAUAAAGUAAGUAGGUAGCAAUUUAAUUGGAGAUUAUAAAUGGAAGUGAACAGGAGAUUGCAUGUGAAAUUGAUGACUAAGAGGCACCUCGUUGUCAAGAUGUUAGCUAUUUUAAUUCCAUUAUAUAGAAGAAUAAAAGGAUAAAGCAUGGCAUAUCUAAAUGAUCAUCGAAUAGCUGAAAAUAAAAAAAAGUGUCAAAAUCCACAGAAAGGGCCCGUGCUGUUCAAGUGUGAGUUGCCAGUCAUCCAAUUUCGUUCUCUCUGCCAUUCCAUAUGCUCUAACGCUCAGUAAUAUUCCCAACCAGUGUUAGCUCGCCUCUUUUCUUAUAGCCAUAUCACAAAGACGAGGAUCCACUGAACUAUAUCUAUCCGGAUUAUGCACGAGUAAACUAGGCUAAAGUACACAGAAAAUUUCCAUCAAUUGAGAUUUAACUUAACUGAUGGAGUAAUGAGUAAAUUGCAUGGCAAAGUGCAACAAAGAUCCGAUGAGGUAUUCUGAAAAAACAGGAAAAGAUCUGAUAAGACUUUAAGGACGACGGCUUGUUCUUCAUUGAAUGAUGAAAUCAAUCACCAAGAAACAUUCACAAAGCCGAUUCAGAUAGUCUGAACAAGACUUAUUGGCUGCGGUCAUCACUAUAAUUAUCGAUCCUUUCGGGGUUUUUUUUCAAACACACAAAAAAAAAUCUCAGAACAGGUGCAAAAAACCAGUCAUCAAGACCCCGCAAAUCGAUACGACAGAACAAACACCGCAUAUAAGAAACAGGACACUACGAAGCAUCUUGGAAAAAAUAGAAAUUAAAGACACAAAGCUUCCAAACUUUUCAUACAGAGCAUCAAUAUGAGAUAAAGGAAUAAUAAAGCAAAGAACCACCACCAAUUCUUUUGGUUAAAGCAAAUAUAACACAGGAGUAAGAGUGCAAUGAUAAGCCACAAAUCCAGCAAGCCAUGAGAAAAAUAAAUAAACUCAAUACAGGCAGAAAAAUAUCCAAAAAAGAAAACAAAUAUUAGUUGGUAACACAAAGCCUAAAGUAUCGAGAAGAUGAAUGGAACCCUUAUAUACUUACUCUAUUCUGAGUGCUGGACUCCAGGGCCCUCUUUCUUAUUUUUCUUUCAGGCUCUGGUACAGGGUUUGCGGUUCCACCAACUUUUGGAGGGCCUUCUAUGAACAGAAAGAAAAAAUCCGCGAUAUUGACAAAAGUAAAGAGGAAGAAAUCUGAGAGAGGAGUGACUGGGAUUAUUAAAAAAAAAAAUGGAGACAAGCGAGGAAAAGAUCGAAGAAGGAGUUUUAAAAAGAAUGGAGAGAUAAGGAGAGGGUCAUCUGUCGGACCACUUUGUACCAUUCUAUUUUUGGAGGUCAGAAUGCUGCCAGGUGGAAGGCCAGGGGCCUCAAGCUUUCUCUCGCUGCGGUCCCUGAGUUGGAUUUUUUCCUCCAAGACUCCGGUAACGCCGCCUUCUCUCGUUGCCGUCCCUGAGUUGGAUUUUUUGUCCAGACUCCGUUAUUUUCCAUCAUAACAGAAAUACUUUUUGUUAUUUGUGAUAUCUGAUUUUUUUAAAUACAAUAAUGAUUAUCAUAAAAUUCUCUACUGAAGAAUUUGUCUAAUCCACAGUAACUCUGCUAAUCCACAGUAAACUCUGCUAAUCCACAGUAAAAUCUUUAUUUAUUUUUAUACAUGAGCAGCAUGCAUCCACUAUGCUUGUCAAGCAUGAGCCAUAAGUUGGAAACUGGCACGUCAUUUGUAAAAAAAAAGAUAAUAGUUAAUAGUUAUGCUGCUGACAAUUUUAGAAAAAAAAAUCCAUAGCAUGUAGAAUAUAAAUAUGGGGAUUGAUAACCUACUCUCUAUUAUGGUAGGUUAUCAAUCUACCCAUUUUUUUGGGACAAAAAGUAUCCUUACUUUUUAUAACUCUUAAGGGUAUUUUAUGUCUUUUUACAAUUCCACAUUAACUCACUCUCUCAACCUCCUAAUUAAUACUUUCUCUCUCUCAUAUAUAUAUAUAUAUAUAUAUAUAUAUAUAUAUAUAUAUAUAUAUAUAUANNNNNNNNNNNNNNNNNNNNAACCUACUUUCUGUUAUGAUAGGUUAUCAAUCUAUCCAUUUUUCAUUGGACAAAAAAUAUCCUUAUUUUUUAUAACUUUAAGGAUACUUUAAUAAGUCAUGGUGUAGAGGGCAGGACAACUGAACAUGGCUAUAUAUAUUUGGGAAAAGAUACUAAUUAAUACUUGUGUUUAAUAAUGAUUUUCCAUUUCUUGGUUUCAUUCAUAUGCGGUUGAAGGGUCUAACUAUGUUAGAGUUGAAGUACUACCUGCCUGCACACAAUAUCCUAGUUUCUGGGAAUAAAGUGGCUAUGAUUAUCAGGAUUUUAACUCACUUGGGUAAGUAAAUUUUUCUUGAAGUUCUACUCUUGAGAUGUCAUGCAGUUUUUUGGGUAUUAUCAAACAACACUGUCAUGCCCCCAAUCCAAAGUUAGAAGUGGAGGGCAUAGCAACUACCACAUGUUCACCAGCAUUAGUCCUAUAUGUGCAAGGCUUGGAACCUGUAAAAAACUAUAACAUAAUUUGAUCAAAAUAAUUUAUGCACAAGCAUUGGUAAAAUUAGAAAAUUUAAACUUCCAAAACAAAGUAUUUUAUGAUGAAAAAUAUCACCUCAAAAGAACUCAAAUAAUCUACAAAUAAUUUAAUUUCACUCAAACAACCGGUUCUGAUGCGUUCCUCUUUGUUUUUAUUUUCUUUCGAUCCAAAAUAAAAUAAAUAAUUCCUGUAGAUUGGUCCGAGGCAUGGCAUUACUGUCUUUAAAAGAGAUUCGCUUCCUUACGUGCACCAGAUUCUGGCGAUCCCUCUGCAAGAUAUAACGGACCGUUGAAUUUAUAGACAUGCACAGUACUACAAAUUUUCUUGAACUCGACAGAGACUUUUAUGUAUACUCGUACUCAUAGAAUGAAGAAACAAAACUUUAAAAUGAAAAAUGAGAAAAAUGAGAGAACUCUUCUUUUUCUUCUUCUUUUUUUUUUCUCCCUCGGUGUAGCCUUCUAUCUGGUUCACCCCUCCAAUGUUUACAUUUUAAUUGAGCUGUCCGUUGAGUUCUCCCACGGGCAACUCUACAUUAAUGAGUUUAAAUGGAGGGAUGGUUUCAAACCAUUCUGAUGAGAGAGAGGCGUUUCAAAUUUUAAAAAGAAACCUCUUACAUUCCCCACCAUUUUUGAAGUUUCAAUUUUUUUUGAAGAUAAUUUUGAAAAUGAAUUUUUUUUUUGAAAAUUCAAUGUACGAGCAAUCAGUACACUUAGUUUUCGAUGAAAGGUGUCUUCCGGACUUGAACCUUCAUCUAGUUGGUAUUUCGCCAUCUACACCGGUCUGAAGUGAAUAGAGUCUUGAACUUAGAUUUUAUGUAUAAAUUUUGAAAAUACCGAACAACUAAGAGUUGACCCUGCAUGUGAGUUCUAUCAGAGUAGUGUAUUACGACCGUGCGCAUGUAUCUUUUUUUGUAAGUGUCUCUUAGAGAACAAGCUUUAAUUCUCUAUUUGACUGCAGCCCCACAGUCACACUCACAUCGGUGAUAUCUUCAAGGGUAUACUGCAUCUCUAUACCCUACUAUAAUAGCUUUGAUAUCAUUAAAGCAUUACGCCAUCCUCCUAUCUAGUGCAGUUGAGCACCUACUCCAUAGAGAUGGAUAGUGAACAAAGUUUACUUUAAAUUUGGUGCUCCUACCAGUUACUCAGUCAGCUUGUNNNNNNNNNNNNNNNNNNNNAUUACGCCAUCCUCCUAUCUAGUGCAGUUGAGCACCUACUCCAUAGAGAUGGAUAGUGAACAAAGUUUACUUUAAAUUUGGUGCUCCUACCAGUUACUCAGUCAGCUUGUUUAUUCCAUUGAACCUACAUCUUGGGAUCUUCAGUCAGAUAGGUUGGGUUGCCGCUGAAGGUAACUCAAAAAUGGGCCUUAAACCUAUCCCCCUUGAAGCAUAUUGAACUUGUCCUCUCGACAAGCUCUUGGUCAGAUGAUCUGCCGAGUUCUCUACUGAUUUAAUAUAACUUAAAGUUAUAAUUCCAGUAAAGGUGAGCUUCCUUAAAAAUUUAUAUCGAAGCUUAAUGUGCCUAGAUGACUUUGAGUUGUGAUUUUUACUUUUUACUUUUGCUAUAGUCAUCUGAUUAUCACAGUUAAUUAGAAUAGUAGGAAUAGGCUUAUCCAUCAUGGAAAUAUCUGAUAACAUAUCCCUAAGCCAAUCUGCUUUUCCACCAGCUAAUUCUAAGGCUACUAUCUCAGCUUCUAUGAUGGAUCUAGUAAUCAAGGUCUGCUUGAAAGAUUUCUAAGUAUCAACACCACCAUCUAAUGUAAAAAUAAAUCAACUAGUGGCUUUAGUAUCUUCAAAAUCAGAGAUCCAGUUAGCAUCACUAUACCCUUUUAGUACAGUGGAAAAACUAGAAUAAUAUAUUCCAUAGUUGUUAGUACCCUUCAAAUAUUUAAGAAGCCUUUCUAUUGCAUCCCAAUGUGUUUUAUUGGGGUUACUGGUGUAUCCACUCAGUCUUCCUAUAGCAUAGAAGAUAUCUAGUCUUAUACAGUUAGAUAAAUACAUAAGAUUUCCAAUUAAUUGAAAAUACUUUAAUUGGGAAACACUAUCCCCACCAUUUUUCUUUAAUUUUAUGCUAGGAUCAUAUGGGGUGCUAACUGGCUUGCAAUUUUCAUACCUAUAUUUCUUUCACACCUUUUCAACAUAGUGAGAUUGACUCUAAACAAUCUCAUUUUGUGUCCUUAUAAUUCCGAUUCCUAAGAUUACUUUAGCUAACCCUAGAUCUUUCAUCUCAAAAUUGUCACUUAAGUAUUUCUUUACUUCUACAAUUGUGACAUGGUCACUACUAAAAAUUAAAAUAUCAUCUACAUAUAAAUAUAGGAUAAUAAUAGACCUAUCAAAUAUUCUCCAAUAUAGACAUUUAUCGAAGUCACAAAUGUUAAAGCCAUAGUAAAGAAAGAUUUAAUGAAAUAAGAGGAGAAUUAUGUAUUUGCGACCCUUUUUAAUUAAAUCUAAGUGUAAAUAUUGUUUGAAUGCAUAUUUGGUAUGAUUGAUUCUUUUUAUUCUCGUCUUUAAAUCAUUUUCAGUGGUUUUAAAUUGAAGAUUUUAUUUACAAAUUUAUUCUUUGAUUUAUGAAGAGACGAUUCAUGAUAAUGAGGAGUCGACUCAUGGAGUGAAGGGGAGAGUUUUGAAUCAUAAAGAAAUCUAACUCGACUCUUUCUCAAUUAGAAGGGACAGCUCACUCAGUCAGGAGUCGACCCCUACUCUACUUGAGUCGACCCAUGAAACAAAUGAAUCGACCCAUGCUGCUCUGGAAUUGUUUUCUCCCAAAAUGAUACUCUCUUUCAAAAAUGUUUCCUCAAAACGUUUCAGUCGUUUCGAAAGUUCUCUUUCAAAAAUAUUCCGCCUUCCUCCUCUCCUAAAAACAAAAUUCUAAAACUCUCGUGUGGUCCCGGCCGAUCCCUCAUGGCUCCUAGAAAGCAAGUGGCAUCUGGACCAAAGAGAAAGGAACCCAUCGUGCAUCCAGAAAGAAGAUCCAAGGCACGAAUAGACAGAACAAUGAACCCACAAAUCCUCCACCAUCUCAGCAACAAUCCGUUCCAUCCUCACCUGUUUCGUCACCUUCUUCCCCCAUUCCAAGAAUCAUUCCACUUUCAACCCGAACAGUGUCGACCGGAAGAAAGGUAGACUUUUAAUUUCUGAAAAGAAAAGAGUUUCACAUUGGGGUAAAUCUGAAAGAGAUGGGUUGGAAAUAUGUGUGCUCUCGAGACCUGCCUACCUACACAGACCUUGUGAGAGAAUUCUACUGCAAUGUUUGGUAUGGGAAUGGACAGAUCUCAUCCAAGGUCAAGGAUAUUCCCAUUCUCAUCACGGAUGAAAUCUUAGGGAAUAUAAUUAGGGCUCCCAUUGAUGGAGAGGACAUCGACAUGUGGAAGAUAGAAAUGAAGGAGUUAGGUUGAUUCUAAUGUUGUUGGUAAACCAGAAGAAAUAAAGGCAAAUCAACUGAAUGCUGAAAUGAGACUCCUUCAUCAUAUCAUCAAUCGGAUGCUAUUUCCAAAAACAUGCUGAUUUGAUCAUGUGUCUGAAAGGAAUAUUCUAGUGAUGCACCACCUACUUCAAGGCUACUCAUUGAACCUUCCUUCCAUGAUGAUAAGACAUAUGGCUAAUCUUGGACGGAGAAAGGGAGCAUCACUCCCUAAUGGUAUGGUCCUAACCCUUAUCUUUAUUCGCUAUGAUAUCAGUCUUCAAGGAGAAACUAAAAUGGAACUCAAGCACACUGAUAUCUACAGUGAAAAAUCAUUGAAAAGAAUGGGAUUCAUUAAAGUAAAUAACCAGUGGAUUCAUAAAGGAGAAGAAAGGCAAGGAGAAGCUAGAGAAGAGGUAGAAAGGCCAGUUGAAGCUGAGCAAGCUAGUGCAGGAUCUUCUUAGAAGACACCUAGCACUAGUUCACAAAAAGAAAGGCCACCUGUAAAGUCUCUCAGGCUUGAAAGAGACCAGUUAAAGUUUAUUGGAGAUCAUAUACUGCAAGAACUUUUUCAUUCAGGAGUUUGUUGGAAUUUAGUUUUUGACCUGAUUGAGAUGGUAAAAGAAGUAAAAACUGAGAUGGAGAGUUUAAGAUCACUUGCUGCCAUCCAACAAAGAAUACUUAGAGUUAUUGAAGAAAAUUUUAGGCAACAAGAAAAUGAAUUCCUCGAGUCACUGCAGUAGAUAAAAGAAGAAAAACUCGCAGUUGACUGCAUGCCUCUCUGCUCCGGAUUCCAAAAUCAAAAAGUUCUUGGGGAACAAGGAGGCCAAUCAGCUUGGACCAUUUUCUUAGCCUAGAUCUUUUCAUCUAGGCUGAUACCUUCUCCUAUCAAAACUUGAAACCUCUGUUCAAAUGUUUUUCACGUCCUUUUGUCUUUCAUUUUUCACAAUUACCUUCACUUAAUAUGUAAACAUCUUUUGUAAAUUGCUUGGUUAUCAAUGAAAUGACUGUUUAUUUUCACAGAACUAUGUCUUCACUGCAAUCUUUAUGUUCAAGCUUGUAUGUUUUGUUUGUCUCCAAAGCUCUGAUACAUUUACAAAUCAAAAUACUUUGAUGCAUUACCAAUUCUAAAAUAAUAAUGCUCUGAAAUCUUGGCACUGAUACUCGCUCUAAUUACUGCACUAAUACUUGCACUGAUACUCUAAUUCUGUGAUGACAAAUCUGAACAUUCUAUUCAGUUAUUCCCUUUAACUCUUAAUACUUAAUGAUCUGAAAGUAGAACAUUUUCUAGCACCUCACCCUUUUGUUGAUGACCAAAAAUGGGAGAAGUAAAAAAAUUUCAAAAAGGGGGAGAAGUAAGAGAAUUUCGAAAAGGGAGAGAAGAAAAAGAAUUGUCUUGGAGAAAUAGUGGUAUCAAGAAUUUUAUUGGAGAAAAUUGAUCAAAAUCAUUGGAAUCAAAUGACAAAAGAUAGGGAGAGAACUGAAAAGAAAAGAAACUUAGACCCCUGCUUAACUUAAACUCUUAUAAUAAAAAGGGGGAGAAGCAUAAUUUAUUUGAUCAUAAUAUAAAGGAGGAGAUUUUCUCAUAUUAAAUUUACAUAUUGAAGUUUUUUUAGAUUCAAUAAUGCACAUGUUCUGAAUUUUUUGAAUGUCUUUUUGUUUUGCUCUGAACUUUAUUGCAAAAAAUGCUCUGAAUAUUAUUGCAAAAUUCUUUUAGACUUAAUAGUUUUGUCAUCAACAAAAAGGGAGAGAUUGUUAACGCUAAAGGAUGAAUUUUGAUGGUCACAAAAAAUUGAUUAAAUGUGUACUCUAAUGUUUUUGUCUUAAGUGUGAAGGUUUAAAUUUCAAGAAGAAAAGAGCACUUACAACCUCCAAAGAAUUAAGAAAAAUCAAAGGUCUCUGAAGUUCUGUCUGUUAUCUGAAUGAGUCGACUGAUGUAGUAAAUGAGUCGACCCCUGUGUAGUUCAAGAAAGACAGAGAAGAAUCAUUGCUUGAGACAAGUUAGAUGAGCUGACCCUUAUGUUUAAAGAGUCGACCCAUUAUCUGAAUGAGUCAACCCCUGUGUAGUUCAAGAAAGACAGAGAAGAAUCGCCACCUGAGACAAGUUAGAUGAGCCGACCUUUAUGUUUAAAGAGUCAACCCAUUAUCUGAACGAGUUGACCCAUGUAGAAAAUGAGUCGACCCCUAUGCAGUUCAAAGAAGACAGAGAAGAAUCACUGCCUGAGACAAAUUAGAUGAGCCAACCCUUGUACUUAAAGAAUCGACCCAUCAUCUACAUGGGUCGACCCCCGAUAUUGAAAAGUCGACCCUUUGAGGCCAGCGUAAAAAUUUUAUAUGAACUGAAGGAAUGAGCCGACCUUUGUGCUUAAAGAGUCGACCCAUUAUCUAUAUGAGUCGACCCCCGAUAUUGAAGAGUCGACCCUUUGAGGCCAGCACAGAAAUUUUGUAUGAACUAAAAGAAUGAGCCGACCCUUGUGCUUAGUGAGUCAUCCCCAUCAGUACAUGGGACAAUCCCUGAAUUUGGAGGGACAACCCCUGUUAUCCUGACUAUUCCAACAGCUACUUUCGACGGGAUCUCCUUAGGUCUCAACGGCUAGUUUUUUGGUCUAACGGCUAGUUGGUGCUUCCCAAAUAGCAUGAAGCCUAUAAAUUUAAAGGAGCGCUAAAGAAAGACAAGAGAGGAACAAGAGAGAAAAUUCAAAAUUCAAAAUUCAAGCUUCCAAAAAUCAAAUCCUCACAAGAAAGCUUUCAAAGAGAAAAACCAUUUUAUGAAAAAAUCCGUUGGGGAUAUUCAACAAGAGUUGCUGCUGUACAAUCAAGAUAUUCAGCUGCAGCCAAUAACCAUCUUCAAAGCUUCACAUGCAUGUUUAUUGUUUCAUUUAUUUUUAAGCUUUGUUUACUUUGUUACCGCAUUUAUUACUUAGCUUUAACUCUACUGUAAUAGUUUCAUUUAUUCUAAAACUGAUAAAGGUUCUUCCAAACUUGAAUUGAAAGUUGUUGAAUUUUAGAAUUCAACAAGGGUAAAUGUUUUGGUUGGUGAUCUGGUGAAAACUGACUGGGUUGUCUGUGAUCCCGAAAAACAAACGGGUAAAGAUUUUGGUUGGUGAUCCAUUAAAAAUUGAUUGGGUUAUUUGUGAUCUCCAAAAACAAAUAGAUAAAGAUUUUGGUUGGUGAUCCUGUGAAAACCGACUAGGUUCGUUGUGAUCCUCCAAAAAAAAAUAACAAGUUGGGUUGUGAACUCGAAAAACAACCACGCUGUAAUGAAGGAGGUUAUAGUAAAAUUUUCAAGAGUCAUGGGGAGUGGAUGUAGGUGUGAGUUACACCAAACCACUAUAAAUUUUUUGUGUUUGUAUGUGCUUGUCUUUUUAUACUUAUCUUUUAAAUUCUGCCCUCAUUCAUUCAUUUGUUCAGCAUUUGUAUCUUUCAAAUUGAAAUUAUCAUUUAUCUGCUGCAUUUAGUUAAAAAAAUUUUAUAACCCAAUACACCUCCCUUCUUGGGCUACAUAUCUCGGCAACACUUAAGUUUGCAAUAGAAUGGCCAUGUCAUGAUCCGGAUUCGGAGCAUGACAAUCCUUCUCCAUCAAUAGAGCAUUUGUAUUAGUUGUUUUUAUUUUUGCCACCACAAGAGUAGUUAAAAUUUAUAUUGGUGACAAACUUGAAAUUAUUAACAUAAGAAAUAAAGAUUAUAAGUAUUAUUAGGGAUAUUUUAGAAAUAUAAGUAAUUUAUGGGGCUCGAAUUUUUUCAAUUAAAACAAUUUCUCAUGUUAACAUGGAUGUGGGUAUUCUAGUGGUUCAUAUGGAUGGAUUCAAUUCAUAAUGGAUGAUGAAGUCACGACAUGCUAGGCCAAAACAUGCCAUUGCAAGGAACUCAUGGGGUGAUUUAACAAUAUAGGGCCUUUUUGAAUGCUUAUAUACCUUAUCUAUUAUCUAUUAUCUAUUACAUGACUAUUUACAAAAUUGAGGCUUAGCUUGCAUGGAGCUCUCUAUCGACCAUGAGGACAUCAAAAUCAAUAAGGUUAGCAUCAUUACAUUUAAUUGCUUAAUGUGUAAUUUACAUUAAUGAUAUCAAUAUCAAUAUGGUCGGCCAUUAUUAUAGUUAAUUUCUUAAUGCGUAAUAAAUAUUUGGUUAUUGAAGUUUUCUAUUUAUUAUAAUUUGUUACAUUGUAAUAUUGUAUUUCAAAAAUAAUUAAAAGAAGAGAAAAGAAUGAUACCCCCAUGUGGUGCAGGCCAAUUAAUGAUGCCAAUAUUAAUGAUAGAAAUUUCAAAAUUAAUCAUGUGGAUAUUAAUGACAGAAGUUUCAAAAUUAAUGAUGCUGAUAUUAAUAAUAGAAGUUUUGAAAUUAAUGAUGCUAAUAUUAAUGACAAAAUUUUUAAAACUAAUGAUGUGGAAGUUUCAAAAUUAAUAAUGCCGAUAAUAAUGACAGAAGUUUCAAAAUUAAAGAUACUGAUAUUAAUGACAAAAGUUUUAAAAUUAAUGAUGUUGAUAUUCAUGAUAGAAGUUUCAAAAUUAAUGAUGCUGAAUUAAUGACUGAAGUUUUAAAAUUAAUAAUACUGGUACUAAUGAUAGGAGUUGGAGAUUUUGUGUCACCAUCAUAUUAAAGUUUAUUGCUUAUUAUGUUGCUAUUGAAGCCUCCUAUUUAUUAUCAUUUGUUACAUAUUAUAUUUCAAGAACAGUUAGAGAAAAAGAAAAAAAUGUACCUCAUGCAUCGCAUGGGUUAUAUACUAUUAUUAUAUUUAUUUAUUACAAUAUGUGCUGGAGGAGGAAAAAGAGUAGGGAGAGAAAGAAGAAACUAGUGCACCCUAAGAAAUCUUAGGUUACACAAUCUUCAGUUUACUAGGAGACUAGAUUCUAUUGAUAAAUUAUAACACAAGCUAGAGGUAAAGAAAGGAUGAAUAGAAACAAAAGGAAAUUGUCACGCCUCAUAUUUAGAGCAUGAUUUGUCGUGCCUCAGAUCCAUAGCAUGACACAGCCAUACUAGCGAGGGGUACAACCUAUGAUAAUAUGAAGCUAAUAUUAUAUUUAACUUUCAGAUCCAACACAAAAAUAAUAAAAUAAAUAGGAAUCCAAUUUGAUUAUUUAUUAAAUAAAAUCAAUAUUAGUUCAGAGCUUCUAAAUCGCAACAUAUAUUUCAAACCCAUAAUCCUCAAAAUUCAAAAAAAUAUUAACUACAAAUUAAUAGUUAAUUUAAAAUACUAAGAUUCUUUCACAAAAUUAUCAAGUUUGUUAUUACAACCUCCAAGCUAACCUUCGUCCUACUGAUCUUAUUUGCCCAAGGAGAAAAAUAAAAUAGAGGUAUAUGAGCCACACAUCUCCGUAAGUAAACCUUUUACUACCUUAUCGGAUCAAGCAUAAGUUUUUCUUUGUCAAUACAUCAUUUAAAGAAAAUAACAAAUAUUACAAAAUAAAUCGUUUCAUAGUAUAUUAUAUAAAAACAAGUCAUAAAACCAAUAAUAUAUGCAUAAAUCAUUUAUAAAAUAUGGUUCCUCGUGUAUAGCAUAAAAUUAUAAAUCAUUUAUCAUUGAUCAAAUUACUACUCUCAGACUAAAUGCUAAGAUCACUAUUAUAUCUAUGACAGGGCCGUAAUCAAUAAACAUCAACUAAUAUUACCCGUUGGGAGGGUCAUAUGCCAACUACUAUUAUCCGUUGUUAGAGUUGUAUGCUAACUACUAUUAUCUACUGGCAGGAUCGUAUGCCAACUACUAUUAUCCAUUGACAGAGUUGUAAAAAUUGAAUGUCGAUUUACCCCACUUUUAGGGGUUAUACAUAGUUAUCUGAGACCCUUUUCGCCAUAGUUAUUAAGAUAACUUUCUUAAAUCCUAUUUCUCAAAUUAUAUUUUUUUGUAUCAUACAUGAAUAAAAUAUUAAAUGUCCUUAUGGAUUCAUUAAUUCGCACUAAAUCAUGAGUUUCAUAAUAUCGUAUGCUUGAUCCUUAAUUUUAAGAAGACAUGAUAUCAUCAACGUUUAACACUAUUUUUAUAUUUUUAUAAUACCAAAAAAAUAAAUAGAAAUUUAAAAACUAGUCAAGAGUAUAAGAUUUACUUACUCUGUUCGACCAAAGAUCUCUAGAUUCAGUUGAGCAACUCUGCUGCACCUAUCAAAAUUAUUUUAAAAUAAAUUAGUUGCUAUUCUCUAUUUAAAAUCUUUAAGCAAUCUGAAAUAGAUUUGAGCAGACUUCAGAUCUCGACUGGGUAAGUUUGUAGUGGAUCUAUAAAUCUAGUAGAGAGAGAAUGGUUGUACCAAAGAUGGGAUCUCUUUCUCUCUCCUAAUUUUUAUUUAUUUAUUUAUUUCAUUUUUUUAUCGUUUCUUCUUCUUCUUCUCUUUUCUUCUUUAUUCUCUUCUUUUCUUCAUUGCCCUUUUAUCUCUUUCUCCCUCUUUUCUAAACCCACGCCACUGAGAAGUAGGGGAAGGGGAGGAAGGGCCUCCGGCCUGGCGGCGGCUGCGGCUGCGGCCGAAAGCCGGUGACGGUUGCGGUCGAGGAUCGCGGCAGGUUGGAGCAGCCACCAAAGGAAGCAGGGUAGGAACAGAGGAGGGAAGAGGCCUCCGUCCCGGCAGUGGCACAGCUAAGGGCCGGCUGCGGCGAGGCCAAGGACCGUGGGAAUGACCACUAGGUAAGUGUUCUCCCUUUUCUUUUCUUCUUCUUCUUCUUCUUCUUCUUUUCCUUGUCCCGGUGGCCCUUUGCUGGAUUCCGGCCAUUGUCGGUCGACCGAAAGGAGGGAGAGGAAGUAGAGGAGACGGAAAGGGAAUGGGAUGAAAGUGAAUCCUAGGUUCUUUGGUGUUAAGCAUGCUGUAAUUUUUUUUUUUUUGAAAACCAUGGCUGAACCUGAUCGGGUUGCCUACGUACCCCUUCAUAAGGGGGAUUAAGCCAUACGUAGUACUUUUUAAGUUUUAAAAUGCAGCGGAAAAACCGAAUCAAACAAUUUAAUUCAUGUAUGCUUACAAGAUCAAAUCUAGAAAUCAGUACCUUAAGAAUACAUAAGAUUAUGCCGAAAUCGUUUAAACAAUUAUGCUAAAACUUUCAUGCAUGAUUAACUAUCAGAUCUGAAAGGUAAACACUCUAUUCUGAUUAAUCUUCGAAUAUCCAUCGAAUGGAUUCUGGAGAUAUCUCCGUGAGGAGCCCCAAAAGAGGGUAAAACCUCGGAGAAUCGGACCUACAUCUUGACACCAUAAUAAAUGAUUAAUGCUAGAUUAAUACCUUUUAUGAUGGAUGAAAGUUGUGGAUAUGAUCCUUGACUUCGCAGUCACGCACAUGAAUGGUCUCUAUGAGAAGUACACGCGAAGUUCCUGAAGAGAUCCAAUUCUGCGGAAGUGCUAGCUUGCGCAGAAUUUCUUGAGGCUGAAAUUUGAUCUUCCCAACGCUAUCAACUUUUGAUCCGCCUUCUUGGAAGAACUUGGAGGAAAGGUUUAGAGGGAUUGAAGAGGACUUAGAUCUGAUCUAAAGACUCUUAUGAUCAGGGACCCCUAAUACUAAUGGCUUGAUGGACUUAGAGGAGGAAGAAGUCGGCUAGAUUGAAUGCAGAAUUUUUCCAUGCAUGAACUAGGGUUCCUCUCUUUUCUUUUCCCUUUGUUUUCUUCUUUUUCUCUCUUUUUUCUUUAAUUCGACCACCAGCUGAUGGAGGUCCUUUUAAUGUUGCUAUCCUCUCUAACUUCAUGCCAACCAUCCCAUAUUUGAGGAGGAUUUUGUGGGGUUUUGAAUUUUGAAUUCAAAAUUCAAGUUCAUGCGCCAUUACAUGAUGAAGCUUGAUCUAAUCUAAACCAUUCACCAUGUUGCCACUUUCCUCUUUCAAUUUCGAAAUUUCCAUGCCCCCAAUCAGAUUAGAGAGUCACGUGGUGAUUUUGUGGUGAUUAAAUUCGAAAUUCAACCUUAAUUAGAAGUAAGAUAAAGAUAAGGAUGACAUAUGCCAUGAAGAGAGAAAAUUUGAUCUUAUCCAAUUCUUUUCAUGAAUUUAUCUCUCCAUGUCACCCCAUCUGAUGAUGAAAGAGGUCCAUGAUGUUGCCAAGUAUCCCAUGGCACCAUUAAAUAAAUUAAAUUAAUUUUUAAUCAUAUUAAAAAUUAAUUUAUGGCGCCAUGCAUGGAUAUGUGACAAGUGGAUUUCAAGAUCCGAACAGUUUUAGAUCAAACCUAUUUAAUUUAAUUAAAUCCUAACAAUUAGAAUGAUCCAAUUACCAUGGGUUGAACCUAAUCCAAUUAGGUCAAUCCCUAAUUAAGCACAAAUUUAAUCUAAUUUAAUUUGGUCAACCUAAGUCCUCUUGAUUCAGACCUAAUCCAAUUAGGUCAAAAAUCCUGAUUGAGCCCAGAAUUGAAUCUAAUUCAAUUUGGCUCAUCCUUAGUCUAAUUAUUCAAUCCAAUUGAGUUCAUUAGCAAACUAAUUACUAAUUAAUCCUUCGAUAAUUACUUUAAUUAUUUUAUAAGAUAAUUUAUCAAUCGAAUUGACCAAAUUACUCCUGAAUGAUUCUUAAUCAUUCAUCAGCCUUCUUGAUCAAUCAGGAAUCUUCUAUGCGUGUGACCUCAUGGGUUCGAACCUAAGCCGGUAGUAUAGGAACGACUUCCUACACUAAUCGAUGUGACCAUCUAGCAAUGGUACCCGACGUUUNNNNNNNNNNNNNNNNNNNNNNNNNNNNNNNNNNNNNNNNNGAACUAUGGUUACUGUAUAAUUCAAUCCCUUUGACUCCUAAUGCCAGGAUGACUUAGAGCUCACUGUCAACCCUAUAAUUAGUAUAUCCAUUAUGUGAUUAACUUUAGAUAUCUCGUGACUCCUCACUGGGUUACCCUGGCCAAGGUUUUGCUAAAUUAAUCACAAGACAUUAUCUCCUGUUUCCAAGAGGGGUCAAUUCCAUCUCGACUCACAACUGACUAUGCAAGUACUUGACUGCACCCAGUGACCUUCCGUCACUGAAUUAGAAAUCCAGAUAGUCCAGUACCAAAGUACAAUGAGUUGCUUGCUAGUCACAGGUUGCGGUCUCAGGUCAGAGGGCCAAACUUAUACCCAUAUCCACUCGGAACAUCUCUUGACAGUAGAGCGUUCCGAAAUUGGUCACGUUCAGUGAAAUGUACUCCUACACUUUACCUGUGUGGCAUACCAGUGUCUCUACACUCCUUGGUUAGGAGGACAACCAACGUAUAUGUCACACAAUGACCUAAUCUCGAUAAGACUGUCAUCCUAGUAACAACAUAUCUCAUUUGGUCGCGAACUGAUUUAAGGACUUGAAGAUAAAUCCUCCUUUAUCAUUAAUAAGUCCUAAGGACUUCAUCAUAUAAGAGUUCAUUUGAAGAUGUAAAAUGAUGAAUAAUGCCAAAUAACACUUUAUUAAUUUAUCAAUUUAUUUACAAAAUUCAAUCAUCAAUAUGCUGAGGGUUGACUAUUAGGAUACAAUUCCCAACAUGGAAGACCUUACCUCGCUUUGGUGAGGCGCUGCGAUCCCAACCUCCAGCGACACAAGCUAGGGCACGGUGAACCCAAGCAAAAGAAGGAAGAAGGGAAGAGAGAAAGAAAGGGAGGAGAGGAGAAAGGGAGGAAGAUGGAGGAGGGAGAAGGAAGGAGGAAGGAGAAGAACGAUGGGUGGAGGUUCGGGUGGAGUGGGGUUUUUUAUAACCUCCAUUGGAAGAUGAUAAGCUCAGACGGUUGCACAAGCCGGUUGUUCGGAGGUUACGGCUGUUCGGCGAUUAUAACGGCCUCUAAUGGCCGUCGUGGAGCUGCUUGGGUAGGGGACCGCAAUCCCUUGUUCUGAUGGAGCAAAGCCCAGCUGGGCCUGCAGACUUUGUUUCAGGUCAGGCCCAGCUAGCCUGGAUCUUACACUCUUCUCUCUUUAAAAAAGUUCCAUCUUCAAAACUUAACAUACCUUCGCUCAUUAAUAAAUAAAAAUACUUAGUAUUUUCUACUCCACCAAACUUUUAUUGCGCAACUCUGAUCUAAACAAACUCUUCUGAGGCCCAAAACUCUAGAAUGGUUUGUAUUAACCCUAACCUUCUCUUUUUGUUGCUCAUUGUCACCUAUCAAAAUACUAACAUUAAUCGAUUUCUAUAGUUAAGAAAAUCUAUUUUUUCUUAUUCAACUAUAUGGAACCUAACUAAAUGAGACCUAACUAUUCAUUGCUAAACUUUAAGUUUUAUCCAUGAUUAAACCUAUUGCUCUGAUACCAUUUUUGUCAUGCCCCAGAUUCAGAGCUUGAUUUAUCGUGCCCCAGAUCCACAGCACGAAACAACUGUGCUACCGAGGGGUACAACCCACGAUAAAACGAAGGCAACAUUACAUUUAACUUUCAAAUCCAACAUAAAAAUAAUAAAUUAAAUAGGAAUCCAGUUUCAUUAUUUAUUAAAUAAAAUCAAUAUUGGUUUAGAGCUUCUAAAUCAAAAUAUAUAUACCAAACCCAUAAUUCUCAAAAUUCAGAAAAUCAUUAAUUGCAAAUUAAUAGUCAAUUUAAAAUAUUAAAAUUUUUCUACAAAAUUAUCAAGCUUGCUAGUACGACCUCCAAGCCAACCUUCGCCCCUACUAAUCUUAUUUACUUAGAGAGAAAAAUAAAAUAGAGGUAUAUGAGUGACACAACAGAGGAAGGAAGAAGGGAAGAGGAAAGGAAGGGAGGGAGAUAAGAAAGGGAGGAAGAUGGAGGAGGGAGAAAAGAGGAAGGAGAAGAAUGAUGGGUGGAGGUUCAGGUGGAGUGGGGGUUUUUUAACCCCCAGAGGAAGAGGAUAAGCUCGGACGGUUGUAUCAACCAGUCGUUCGAAGGUUACAGCUAUUGGGCGGUUACGGUCGUUCGGCGGUUACAGUUGUUCGGCGGUUACAACUAUCUCUAACAGUUGUUCGAGCGUUUCGGUCAGGAAAUUGUGAUCCCCUGUUUUGAUGGAGCAAAGCCGGCUGGGCCUGCCGACUUUAAUCCAGGUCAGGCCUAGCUCGCCUGGGUCUUAUAGAAAUUGUCCUGAUCGAAAAAACCCUACAUCACAUAAUCUCUAAUAAAUUGGGGUAUUAUAUUCCAUUUAAACAUGUUAAAAAGAUGAACUCAUGAACAGGAUUUUCUAAGUAGAUUUCUACAAAUGCCGAAGGGAACACCUAAGCAAUAACUUCCUUACAAGUCUUGUGCUACUAUUGUGUGCAUGGCCAAUUGCACGGGAGCAGCCACAUCAAUGCAAGUGCAUGCAGACGAUUGUUUGAGUGGACCAAAAGAUGAUCUUUAGCAUCAUGAGGGUUUUGGAUUACAUGAUCAAGAUUCUCUAAUUAUCUGAGAAACGAUGCCACACGACUAUCUAGAUAGGGCCACAAUGUAAUAUGAAAUUUACAAAAAAUUAAAUAUAAUCUUUUAGCUACAUCUUGAAUCUCCAAGCCAUUUUCCCCUUCUAAAGCCUAUUCGAUAUAUAAUUAUCUGAAGGUGAGGAGUGUCCAAAUAUCAUGACUUGAGCUACAUCCUGCCUCCUCAAGAUACGAGUCGUAUAUGCUUUAGAUGUGUAAUUGAAACUAAGAAAUUAAAGACCAUCUAGGACUCACGCAUGCAUAGAUAGGUUUCAUUAUACUACUAAAUAUGGUCCAGCAGCUGUUGUCUGACCUGUAGUGAAAAUUGGGCAUUCUUAACAAAUCUCCUGGGAUCAGAGUUUCGGCAAUACUAUGAUUUCUAAGACUGCAAAUGGGUUGGGUCAACCCGUGACCCGACCCGACCCGACCCGAUCCGAAUUUUAGGACCCACGGGUCCGGGUUGGAUCCUAAAAUUGGGCCCGAAUCAUUUUCUGGAUCGGGUUUGGAUUUACCGAAUGGACCCAACUCGGCCCGAAUGGACCCGAAGAGAGAGAGAGAAGAGAGGAAAAGCAAAAGAAAGUCAUUUUUUAAAACUAUUAUUUUAAGAAAGUCUCCUCAUAUAAUGUAGUUUUCUCUAAAACUAUUAUUUACUGUUAAAAUGAGAAAAUAGCAGCCAAUUUACCUAGAAAAGCAUUGCGCUGGAUUUUUAGGAAGUAAAAUAAUCCAUCCCAACAACCAUCGUUAUCCACUCUAAGAAAAUAAUGGAUAAUAUUAAAGAAAAAAGCUAGCUGCUAAUUUUAUAACAACCUUCAUUUUUUAAUAGUGAAAAAUGAGAUUAUUUAAUUAUGUUACUUUCCAUAAGAUAAUAUCUUAUUUCUAAAUUGUGCAUGAGUAUUCAAACUUGAAAUUUAUCAUUUUAAGCAAUGAACCAUCCUACCACCCAGCAUUUGCUCCGCUUAAAAAAUCGGCAAGAGAUUAGGGGUUCGAUGCUGGUUGGGAUCAAUUCUGAAGAUGGAAUAAGCAGAAAGCAAGCAAAAAGAAGAAGAAAAUUAACCCCUUCCUGUUUAUAUAUAUAUAAAAAAAAUUUAUAUCACUUAUCAUCAAUUCAUCAUGAACACGGACGGGGUAUUUAGGGAAGGCAAUAAAAAUAUCAUUUAAUUAAAGUUGAUACAAACAUGAAGGAAAACGGAGAGCAACUACCCUGAUCUCCCAUACACAGUGGAUCCAGACAUGAACACCAAGAGAAAGCAACUACUGAUCCGUGUCAUUCCACCAUUUCUACCCUUCAAUUCGCUGCAGAAAAUAAAAUGAUAAACUUAGGAAAAAAAGAAAAUAAUGACUACCGGUCCAUUUCACAUAUUAACAGGUAGACAGUUCUUCGUACAAUAAGACAAUAUUAUGCCAUAUCAAUCUGAAUCAGACAGUAUGAAAUGUACCAUGCGCUCGUAUUGCUGACACUUUUGUAACGUUUUAUGAAGCGUUGCUAAUAAAACCAACAACACUUAUAAGCAUCGAUAUAGAUAAUAAAAAUCAUCGGUAAUGUUUAAUUUUUUUGCAGUGCGUAGUGUACUGAUUUAAUAUAGAUGUUUGAUAAGGGUGGCAUACCGAUAUUAGGUACGCUAAAAAAAUUCGUAUCGAACUAUAUUAUACUAAUAUGAAUCGAAUCUCGAAACGAGAAUCUGGCACCAGUGGCUUUGGUUACCAUAAACCUUUGUCUGCCAGCUAUGCCGUAUUUAUUUCAAUUCUGUCCUCACACCAACCCUAGCAAGAGUGCAUUCGCUCCACCCUUCCUCUCUCUUUAUAUAAACACCAACGCCCUUUCAUCCCACUAAAGGAGAAAGAAUCCCAAAGCCGCACACACCGCCAUGGCCCAUGUCUUGGUCCUCCCAUAUCCCAUGCAGAGCCACAUCAACCCCAUGCUCCAGUUUGCGAAGCGGCUGGCCGUCAAGGGCCCCCGGACCACCAUCGUCGUCACCCGCUUCAUCAUCAACACCAUCGACGUCGACGCUGGCCCGGUCUCCGUCGAGCCCAUCUCCGACGGCCAUGACGAAGGCGGCAUGCAGUCCGCCGUCAGCCUCGAAGACUACUUCCAAAAGCUCGACGAGUUCGGCUCCAAGACCCUCGAGGAGCUGAUCCUGGCCCAUGAGAAGUCUAACACUCCCUUCACCUGCAUGAUUUACGACAGCUAUGUGCCGUGGGGCCUCGCGGUGGCCAAGAAGUUCGGCCUGCCGGUGAUCGCUUUCUCGACGCAGUCAUGCGCUGUAAGUGCUAUUUACUACUAUGUCCGUGAAGGGAAGCUUGAUGUCCCCAGGGUGCAAGCUAUUGAGUCCUUCGAGGGUUUGCCGCCGAUGGAGAGAUCGGAUUUCCCUUCAUUUGCUUUCAGGGAUGGAUCAUACCCGACCCUCACCGCAUACGCUCUGAAUCAGUUCAAGACGGAGAAGGAUGACUGGGUCCUAUUCAAUUCAUUCGAUGAGUUGGAGAGCGAGGUGAGAUGUGUUUUAAAUAGCUAUCUUCUUUUCUCACGCUUGCAUUGAUAUGUAUGAACACAUGCACUGCACCGCAUGCUAUAUUUUUGGAAGCUGUUGAUGACUCAUGGUUCCUUGUCAUGAGUUUUAAUUUACUAGACCCAUACCCUUGAUUCAGUGUAUUCUAACAAAAACCACACACGACCUAGAUCUAAGCUAUCAGCUGUCAUACUUAAAAUCUGAUUGUUUUCUGAAGAGAAAAAGGGAAAUGAAGAAGUAUUGUUUGCAAAGACCUAAAUAGGAGGUCUGAUCUCCUCAUCUAGCUCAACGAAAAAAGUAAUUCUGACCUAUAUAUAAUGCAAAUGUAUCUAUAAAACCAUUAAAUACCCGUUCUUCCACCUUGGGGCAUGCAUCUUGUGCAAAUGCAUCUGUUAUCUUGAAUGCAUUUGUUUCAAAAUUAUGGUAGACUAAACUACAAUGGUCGAUAUAUACAGCAGGGAUUUUCAACUGGAGAGUGAUAUCAUGCAUCCCAACUGUACGACGGUGUCGUGUCCGGUGUUAAAUGCUGCUUAAAGAGUGAGGACAAAAGUAGUUCUAAAAUCAGAAGUUAAUAAGUCAACUCAAUUGGCGUGCAACUUUCCAAUUGUUCCUUUUGAUUUGGCAUCUUGUAGUCCGCCAAGCAAUGGAGCAAUAAGAAAAAAAAGCUGCACAUCAUCUGAUUCACCUUUUGAGCAACAUUUCUCUGUGGCACCACUAGGUCUUUAAAUUUAUCUAUUAGAUGAUUCAUGAAAUAUUAACAAUCCAGAACCUCAUCUAAAAAAACUUGUUGGAAGAACGUAUCAUUUGGAUUUCUUGAUUCUGUAUAAAUAUACAAGAUCUAUCCAAUAUAUAAUUGAUGUAAGACUAAACAUAUAUUUCACUUGAUCUACUAAGAAGUACAUUGGUAAAAAGUUGGCCUGCAUAUAGACAUAAAUAUGUAGGAAUAAAAAAUAAGCAAAGUAUAUGAAAAUGAGGCAAUUUCAUAUCACAAUUCAGAUCUUUUUCAUGCCAUAUACAGUCACCAUUAUAUCUAUAGAUUGAGUCUGAAUUAAACUAUAAAAUAGUUAAUGCAAAAUCCUAUAAGAUGGCAUCUUUUAGGAGUCACAUGUAGUACGUAGGAUGCUAUUUCUUGAAGCAAUGAAAGCCUCAAGCAUUUUCCAAGUGAAACAAUAGUAGUCAAUGGUUUUUCAAUUCAUACUGACUAUUCCAUGGUUGCAGAAUUUAUAGUAUUGUAAAAUAGAUAGUUGAUGUUUUCUUAUUAAGAAAAAUAUAUCCUGACAAGCUAAUGUGAUUAUGCUAAAUUAGAGGUUUUACUGAAUCUUCAAGAUUUCUUGCAACUUUGGAUGUUAUCCUUUUGUUUUCUAUGUUGUCUUUCUGAUACAACAUAAAGGGUCAUUCACUUCUUGGAAAAGAAAUUUAGUUUAAGUAGGUUCAUGUUGAAAUGCAGUAAUUAACAAUUUCUUUUUACUUUACACUAUGUUGGCCGGCUUUAGAGAUCUAGCAGUAAUGGCUUUGAAAAUUAGAGAACGGAACAGUACUAGAUAGUUGUUCCUGACAUAUUUGACCGAUGCCGUCUUUAAAAUAUGUUGCAAGAGAAGUUCUGGCAAGUGCAUAGCAUGUCAAAGCAGCACAAGAUUAUCCAAGUCAUUGGCUAUUUUAGAGAUGAUCAUAUGCAAAUCGGUUGCAAAUUUAUAAAUGUGACCUUUAACAUUAUAUGUGCUUAUUAUUAAUAAGUAUGGAGUUGAUUUAGUAUUCUAAAUUAAAGAAUUAUUCGAUACUCUAUAAAUCAAAGAAAAAAAUCUCCAUCACUGAUGGAGUUGUACAUUUCAUAUUAAAUUACUGAACAACAACCAUAGAACCAUUCACAAAUCCUGCAAUUUAAUCCUUUUUUUCUUUAACAACUGCAGUCAGGAAAGACUUGUUCCUGCACACUAACAUGGUCCUUUAGUAAAUAAACUACGUUUUAAUUCGGACGCUCCUUCCGUUUUCCAAUAAUCUUUUGCUUUAUUUCCGGUUCAAUUGCCAAGGUGGUAAGAUGCUUGAAGAAAUAUAUGCAUGCGAGGACCAUCGGGCCAUGCGUGCCGUUGAUGGACGUGGACAAGCACGACGGAGGCGACACCUACGGCAUGAGCACCUUUGAAGCUGAGAAGGAUAGCUGCAUGAAGUGGCUCGAUGCGAAGCCACCUGGCUCCGUGGUCUACGUCUCCUUCGGCAGCUUUGCAUCCUUAGGAGUCGAGCAGAUGGAGGAAUUGGCAUCUGGGCUCAAGGCGAGCGACGAGUACUUCCUGUGGGUGGUGAAGGGCCCUGACAGGAAGAACCUCCCUCGCGAAUUCAUUGAAGAGCCACCGGAGAAGGGACUCCUCGUGAAGUGGAGCCCGCAGCUUGCUGUCUUGGGCCAUGAGGCCGUGGGAUGCUUUGCGACGCACUGCGGCUGGAACUCGACGCUGGAAACGCUGAGCUUCGGGGUGCCGGUGGUUGCGAUGCCGCUUUGGACCGACCAGCCGACGAAUGCCAAGUACGUGGAGGAUAUGUGGAGGGUUGGCAGGAGGGUGAGAGCAGGGGAGAAGAGGAUCUUUCUUAGGGAUGAGGUCGAGAGGUGCAUAAGGGAGGUGAUGCAUGGGGAAAAGAGUGAGGAGAUUAGAAGGAAUUCGAGGAGAUUGAGGGAUUUGGCCAAGAAGGCAUUGCGUGAGGGUGGGAGUUCUGAUCAGAGCCUAAAUGAGCUUGUGGGGUAUCUGAAUGCAAAGGCCAAGGAUCGUAGUGCCUCGCAGUUUUGACUGAGGGGAGGAGAAGAGUCUAAAUUGGAGUUAGAACUAAACCACCUUGGAGUAUGCGCCUAAUUAAUUGUUUCUCUAGUUUGGUCUCGUUGGUGGAAGAACAAUGUUAUCGAAUGAUUAGUUGCAAUUAAUUAAGAACAGUUUAUCAGGAGCUGUUAUCAAAUUAAACCAGUGUCAUUGAAUAUGUCAGACAAUGCUUUAAAAGCCGAUGAUGGAUCAAAUGCAACGCAUACUCUUGCAAAUUGUUUUUUGUUUUUUGGGUGAAAAAGGAGGCAAAGCAGCCCUUUAUUUUAUUUAGAGGGAUGAGCUCUUGCCGUUAGACUUUGGAACUUAAUUUGCUGCAUUUCUCACUCUCAUGAAGAUUCAUAUGAACUGAAAACCUGAAUUUAUCAGCAUAAUUUAUUUACAUAUCAUCAUGUAAGCCCCAAGCAUGAAGGUAUGUCUCCCCGUCAAUGUUUUGAUGAAACUUGGCAGCAGGUAUUGCAGUCCAACAUGAUACUCGCUUGAGCUGCUCUAAUUAAUUUUCUAUGUUUUCUGCAUGGUAGGGCGUGGUUACAAUUUGAUAUCUGCAAGUGAUUCCUCCAGGACCAAAAGCUUCAUAGGUGUCAUAUUUUGAGUUGAAACAAGUGUUUUAAAGCAUGCAUAUGAGAAGUAAAAGAUGUGAAGUCUUCAUAGAGACGUGCCGCAAUUGGUAGAUUUUCUAAAUUACCUUUCCUGCAGUAAUUUACAUUUUCCCAAUGAUUGUUAAUAUUCUCUAAGAUAUACUGAAAUUUUUGCUUCAAUCUAGAAUAACUUUUUAGCUCUUCAAAAUGAUAAGACCUAAAGAUAAACCUCACCAACAUAAACUACAUACCUUUUUCCUCAAUUACGUACCUUAUUCCUGGUUCAGUUAAAGCUUAUAACCAGCCAUGACACUACCACAGACAUGGGUCAGUUUCAGUAUGCAUAUCAAGCAGACUUAGCAGACUAUUAGGUAUAUACUAUCAUAAAUUAAGAUGAGAAUAUCAUACAAACCAGUGCAACACAAAGCUAUAAUCCUGAAUAUAAAAUAUCAUAUUUAAGCAGCUUUACCGUCAUUUAUAACAUUCCCGUAUUUAAAUACGAAUCAGAGAUUGGUCCCUCAAAACACAUUCCGGACGGAAGGUCACUCUCACUUCCUUGCAAGCCUCCUUGCAGCUCCAAAUAACAGAGCCUUACCAAUAAGACCGGUCUGAAGCCCACAGACAACGGCCACCGUUCCACCAAUAACAACCCAUUUCCAGUCAAUUCCGUGAUGUACCUCAAUAACAUCAUCAUUGUUACCUGUUUCUGAUUCAUGGGACGGUUCUGAGUCCAAGAGUCCGAUGCUUCCAUCAACUGGAAUCUUCGUGGUGACGCGUGCCAUUAGUGCACUCCUGGACAGGGUUACAUCUGUUUUUCUCAUUACUUGAUACGCUCUCAUACCAGAUUGAAGUUUCUUAACAGCUCCCCACAUUCCAUGACGAACACCAACCUUAGCUACAUCCUUCGGAAUGCCCAUGUCCUCGUAAUGAAUAAGAGUUACUUCACAUGCAGAAAGUUGCGCGUCUUGUCUUCGCGACUCCACUGCAUCCAUGUGAAUGAAAAUAAAAAAGAAUAUAUUAAGAAUAUUAUAAGAUCCACCGUGAUACUUGCAAUAAAAUAGUUGAUUAUAGAAUCCAAACAUGAAAUGGAAAGAAACCCGUGGUGAUCAGAAUUAUCCAUCCAAAUGAUGACAUGAGAUUUCAGCUGCUGGAUGAUUGGAAAUCUGUGAUCAGUACAAAAGGCUUUUGGCAUAACUCAUUUCAAGUCACGGUUUCCAACAAAAGUCUAUAAUAGCUCACUAUUUGGGAAGUAAAUUUCAAACAUAACUAGCACGGGAUAAUGGUGAAGAGUUCAGUUAAAUCGUAUUUGUUGGUCUACAAUAUAGUCCUAGUAGCAUCCCAUGGAAAUAUUUGAUUCAAUAGGAAACACAAAAUUAAUUUAGGUUGGUCAGGAUUCUUGAAAUACUUCGAUAAAGUAUAUAUGAUAUGUACCUGCUCUGAUGCGCCAACUUGAGAAAUACAGUUCCACACGCCUUGGUUUUUCGUUCUUGCGUAAAGCUGGGUAAGGAACAUUCUGUAGAAUAAAAUGUGAUAAAUUAAUUAGAGAAACAACACCGGCGAUUAGGAUACAACGUACAAAUACCAGAUGGUGUAAACACUGCCAGAUAACAGCAACAAUAUAUAUCUCAAACUAAAGAUGAUGAAUGCAAUAAACGACAAUCAUCCUCAUCCUAAAUUUACCAUGCCAAGUUCGAAAGAUGGUAAAAAGUAUGCAUGGAUGGGCUGCUAUUCACAUCAACAUUAAGGUGUAAGGAUGAUUAUAACUGCUGGAUUUCAAAUGCCAGUAAGACAAGUUAGUGGCAGCUCUCGCAGACCUUUCUAAAACUACAAAUGCAUCUGUCAUAUAACAUAUGCGCCGAACAAAACCUCAGGGGACUAAAUUCCUUCACUGUUGAUCUAAAUUCCUUCACUAUUGAUCUAAAGUCUCCUCCAGAUCUCCCUCCUCUUUUCUCUGCUGCUGCAUCCUCACAACAACCAUUGAUUCGGUUGCCUGGAGAUCCACAACCUCAUUGAGCAUGAAAAGCAUCACACACUCCAAAGGCUUUAACAGCAACUGCCACCAUGAAAGCAACACCUAGUCAGGUAGAACCUUCUCACCCUACCACUUUUUUCUGAAGCUUAAAUGAGCUGAGUCAGCUCAAGCUUUGCUCGAUUUGCUUUUCGAGCUUAAGCUGACUUGAGUAUACACUAACCGAGCUUGAGUUGGGCUUUCUCAACUAGACUUAAGCCGCUAUCGAGCAGACCGUUUAUAAUGUCGCGCCGAGCUUGAGCAGAGCCCAGCUUGUUGAACUUGUUUAUACCCCUAAUGCUAUACUACAGUCUUAUAACUAAGGCCAAGAUGACAAAUAAUCAGAAAGGUCUGAUGGUCCAUUUGGCCAUUCCAUCUUGUUAGUAUUUCCUUCUUCAUUGCAGUGUAGAGAAAGAUUUAAUGUGAUUUUAUUUGGCAGAUAUUGGACAUUUUUCAAACAAUGUUUGCCCAAUGUUGUGCAAAACAUGAAGCGUGCAUGAUUGGCACAAUUCAGUCCAUGUAGUACAAAAAUAUUACUUUACAGACAAAGUUAAAUAAAAUGGAAAAAGAGCCGAGCUGGAGAGUCUUGAAUUUUGUAAUCUGUGAUGUGCAGCUAUUCUACCCAGAUACAUGGAAAGAGAUGCCCUUAAUGCUAGAACAUUGAUGAAAAUGAAAUACGGAUCCAUUAUUUUCUACCAAGAAAACCCUAUCCCUUACAAAAUCUUUUUAAAGAAGAAAAAAUAGAUAUAGUAGCAUACAAGCAACACAAAUUAAAAAAUGGAUAAAUAUACAAAGAGGAUUGAGCAUGGUCUAGUUUGAUAGCAAAAUAAUCAUUAAACAGAAGAUAUGACCACAACUAAUCUAGAAACUUGUCAUACAAUACCUUUGUCAAACAAUAAUAAGUCUUUUCAGACUCCCAUAUGCGUCGACCAAUUAUGUAUUCUCGAUCACUGCAGAAGAAUGGGAACUGGAGGUGACAGAUAAGCAAUCAAGUCAAACUUUUAUUAUGAGCAAUUAUAAGUUUGAGAAUCAACAUUUGCAUGAGUGAUGCUUGUUGAAAACCUUUUUUAUCCAGUGAACAAUCAUUGUUCCACUCUCAGGGAAUUCCUCCAAAGUUUUAAAGUACACGAGCAUGGGAUCCCAUUUAAGUCGAAAAUCAUCAUCCCAGAAGAAAUCUCUGACCAAUUCAGGAGUUGCAUCCUCAAAUACAGUUCUGCUGCGAUAAAUUAUGGGGCCCACCUGAUGAACAAAAAAGAACAUCAGAAUCUUGAAUUUAUUGAUGAAUUAUACCAGUGGUUAAGAUGUGGUCAAAAGCACAAAACUAUGUGAGAAAGAAAUGAAGCAAAGGAACUUCAUAGCAUUUUUUUAAAUGAGUGGAGGAAGAAACAAUAAACUCCAAAAAUUCUGUCCAAACGAGGAAAAUAAAAUAGACUAAUGAAGAAAACAUUUCAAAAUAGUAAAGGAAAAGAUACAUCAGCAACAUAAUGCAGGAAAGACAAAAGCACACAUGCAUGCAUGCAUUUGAAACAAAUCCUAGGAAACACAAAAAUAUUAGAGACACAGUAUGUUCUCAGAAGCAAUAUAGUUAUUGAAACCAUUCUGUUGCAGUAAUUGUUCAAAGCAUUAAAACUUCAUAUUUUACCUCAGGUUCAUGGCGCCAAGCUUGGUAUAUCAUGUUUGGUGUGGUGCGUUCCAUCUGAUUUUGCCAUACUGCAUCUCCCGCCUUACCAUCCAAAAGAUGCAAUAGAUGCUCCAAAUCUUUCUCAAUAACAACAUCAUGCCCACCCUUGAAAGCUCCACUGGUAGAUCCAGAGAAAGAUUGUGUAAAGAAAGUUAGGGCAUUCUGAACUUCAAAUACAUGCACUAGUUCACUCAAAAAUAAGAAAACAAAUAAAUAGAAAUGAAGGUGCUAUGAAGUGCCAUAUAAAUCCUCAAUUUUUGCCAAAAAAAUUUUGAAGUUGCAUACUAGUCAAGCCUUUUCUGAUGCGAAAUGGUCCUAGAGAGAGUCACAGCUUAUUCUAAUUGACAACAUAUUCCCUACCCCCCCCCCCCCCAACCAAAAAAAAGCAUUGUGAAAGUAGCAACAAGGAAAAUUUUAUGACACAUAAGGGAACAUUAUGUUGCAGAACUCUUAAUGUAACCUUAUACCAAGAUUUAAGAAUAUCACAUGACACAUAUGACUUAGUCCAGCAAUGCAACUAAUUCAUAUCUUCGCCAUCAAGUGACCUCAUCAAGAGCUAAUUCUCAUGGCAACACCAUCUCGGUCGUACUUUUCUUAUGCCGGUAAUGGUUCUGCACACUUAUGGUUUAAGUGACCACACAGAUAUGCAUUGAGUUCAUAAUCAUUCUGAUCUACGUAAGAUCAAUUUUUACUCCUUUCAUAUAGCUGUGAUCUAGCAUUCUCAUGAUUUAAAACAGGGAUUCUUAGUUUAAUCCUACUGAAUUCUGCACCAAUCACACUGAAAAUGGUGAAUUAUUUUUUAUGACAUCCCAGUCUCAAGUCCAGGUACGGGGAAGUGGGUCUCCUAAAAUUUUUAAUAAGAGAACACUUUAUGAUGCGAGUGCAGGGAUGAGUUUUCAAGGAGAUUCAAAGGUAGACACGCCACCUUAAAUAGAAGAUUCUUGCUACAAAGGUACAUGUUGAUGUCUUAUACAUGUUGAUGUCUUAAGUGGAAAUCUGCAAUUCAUGGAUAAGUGAACCAUUAUGAUGAAGGCAGACAGCAUUGAAAGCACUUUUAUGACCUGCAAAAACAUUGAACAAUAGUUCUAGGCAAAUUCAGAGGCCUAAAUUAGAAAUUGGAUAUGUAUUUCUAGGAAAACUUUUUUAUUCACAAAACAAUAGUUGAUUUNNNNNNNNNNNNNNNNNNNNNNNNNNNNNNNNNNNNNNNNNNNNNNNNNNNNNNNNNNNNNNNNNNNNNNNNNNNNNNNNNNNNNNNNNNNNNNNNNNNNNNNNNNNNNNNNNNNNNNNNNNNNNNNNNNNNNNNNNNNNNNNNNNNNNNNNNNNNNNNNNNNNNNNNNNNNNNNNNNNNNNNNNNNNNNNNNNNNNNNNNNNNNNNNNNNNNNNNNNNNNNNNNNNNNNNNNNNNNNNNNNNNNNNGGUUCGCACCGGUACGAGGCCGGUACGGGCCCGAACCGGCCGGUACGCACCCGUACCGGCCGGUACGGAUAAAAAACCGGGAAAUACCGGUUUUUAUCCGUUCCGGUACCGGUCCACGGCCGGACCGGUACGUACCGGCCCGUACCGGCCGGUACGGGCCGGUACGGCAUUCCAUGAGUUACAUAGUAACACAGUAAAGUUGUUUAGUUACAUUUUGGUUAAAAAAAGAGAAGUACACCACUGCUUUUUCUCUUCUUGCUAAGGGAGGGAGCUUUUGGUCAUUUCAAAAGUUAGUUGGAAGCUGGAUAGCUCUGUUCCACUAUAUCUAAGGAACACAUUAUCCCAUGAUAAAGACCACUGACAAGAACAAUCAAGUACAACAAUCCAGCCCUUUGUUUUGGCUGUUUGGCAGACAUUCCAGGUAUAACUACGGUUUAUCCCCUUUCCAGACUAAAUCAAUGACGGUGGUCAGAAUAUAACAUGAAGGAUCUGGACAUUACCAUUAGAGAUAUCAAUCUUGAAGGCCAAGAGUGUCGAAACUGAAAGCUCUGGGAUUCAGUCAUCUUAAACCAUCGAUCAUUGGUUAACAUCGAAUGAAAUACACAUGGGUUCCAUCAGAGAAUGACCAGUUCAAACAUAAAGCUCAUCAACAUAACUAUACAUCAAGCACGAUUCAUAACUAUGGAGACAGAAUUCUUAAGUCAAUUCAAUGUUAAACUAACCAAAAGGCAUCAGGUGUUGGAAAGAAUAUGCAUAGACAUCUUCUUAGAAGGAAUCAAAAAGCUAACGUAAACAAUGCAUUCUGUCCAACACUAAUUGUGUUGAAGUCAGAUUGAUGGUUCGUGACAACAUCCUUGGAUUAUAUAAAAACACAUUUCCUGCAGUUAGACAAAAAAUUACAUUUAGAAUAUGGAUAUCUUCAACUAAACAUUUUUUAUGGAGGUUGAGAUAUGCAGGUUCUCUAGAAAUAGCUUAGCACCAAGCCAAUCACUUAAACUUAUUGUACUAAAAAACAUGAAUUAAAAAUUCACAAUAGUAAAUAUAAUAUAAAAUUAAAUUAAGUCAACAAAUCAAAGGAAGUAGCUAAAUUAUAGAAUUUUUAACAUUUAUUUAAGGACUUAUUUUAGUGUAACAAUGAUAUGUUUCCUGUUAUGUAACAAUGAUAAUUGAUCUUAACAGAAACAUGUUAAAUACUUCAAAUGAGUCGAUGCAUUGUUAAACAUUAAUGAUAUUAGUUAUUAAUCCACCUAACAACCAUGCCUAAUACCUUGCCAACUCCACAAUAUUGUGCAACCUAGUUGCCCUUGGGUUGCUUAUGCUUAGGCUGGCCACGGAGGCUCUUGCAAAGUGGUCGACCAACAUAUAGAAGCUGCCAAAAUGGUUGGAUACUGAGUGGAUGGCCAGGUGACCACCUAAGCUUGGGUGACUGCCUCUGCAGUCCAAGAGGCUACUUUUCAAAACAAUGACCGGAAAGGUAAUCAACUAGUGGACUAAUUCUGAUUAUUUGAAGUAGAUGCCCCUCAAGAAAUAUAUGAUUCCCUCGAUCACAUUCCUCCCAGUUUGGAGCCUGAGCCUUGAUCCAGAAAUACAUAAUUGGCCAUCAUCAUCAAUAUCAAUGAAAUCUUUUUUCAUCUUUUUCCUAUCAAAUGAGGUCAGCAUCAGAGCAAAAUUUUAAGUUGAGAAGGCUCCAUUAAAGAACUAAACAAAGUUUUAUGACUGCUUAUCCUAUCAUAAGGAUGUUUUCAAUGCACAUCCUCCAAUAAAAAUCUGUCCAAUUUCAUUUGUGUCACAUACUCUUCAAUACUUAGUAAGAUGCAUCAUCCAUUCAUAAAUAAGUUCAUACUGGCCACUGAAGCAAAGAAGGAUAGUACAUGCAUGAAGUUCUAAUCUCUCAACCAAUUUCUAGGCCCAUGAAUCUCACUGUAAAGAAAAGCAUCACGGCAGUGACCAGUUGCUUCUCUCUCCAAGUUUCUCUCUCUUGUCCACUGCUUGUAUUAUUAAUCUUCACGAUUUUAUAAUAAGUCCCCACGCUCCCAAGAGAAACACCGAAAGCAUAAUGGUAAGUUUUCAUUUCCAGGAUACGAGGCCCAUUUGAAACUCUCAUAAAAUUGUGAACCACAAUCAUAUGAUUUGCUGGUUCUACUCAAUAUGCAUGAAGCCCGAGUAGUCUCAUAACUCAACCAGCGACUUCUAUUAUCUCUACCCUCUUCGAAAUCCCAUCGCACCAACAGUCUUUGGUCUCACCUUUAUAAUUCGAUAUAGACAAAAUUUGACUUUAAGCAUAUUAAAGUGAACCCAUUUCAAGAAGACAGGGUUCCUAAUUAAAGCCUCUGCUUUUCAGACAGAAAGUUAAGAUAGGAAAAAAUAUAUAUAUAAAAACACAUAAAUUCUUGUAUUGUAACCUAGUUUUUCUACAAUUCAAAUUUUCUCAGACUUCAAAAGAUUAAGCAGCAUUCAGCGACACACGCACGCACGCACGCAAAAAAAAAAAAAAAAAAAACCUUUAGAAUUACAGAAAGACAUGAAUAUAGAACUCCACUAAGACAAAACGGGAUUUUUCCUAAAAAUUACUCAAUUACCGAUCUUUAUCUUUCUUUCAGCAUGAAAGGACCCUCUAUUUUGCACAACAUUCACUUACCUAAUUCCCAUAAAUGCGUAAAUUAAAUAAUUUUAUCAAAGAAAACAACCCAAAAACAAGAAACCAAAAGGAAUUCACACCCACCUGAAGCUACCACCACCGUCCUCGUCCGCGGACGACAUGGAAACCGCCGGCCGGGAGGCCGAGUCCUCCGGGGCCGGCGACCCCUCGCCCUUCCCCUUGAAGCUGGACCAGAGCUUCCGGCACACGGAGAAGGCUGAGAGGGCGGUGAACGCCAGCCAGAGCCGGCGGGCCCCGAGGCCCGGCGGAGCCGUCCACAGAAACCGGAAUUUGCUCCUCAUCCCCAGGAACAACAGCCCCGUCCACCGCGGCCGCCACGACCACCCAAUCACCAGCCCGAUCAUCACCGCCACCCAGAUCGGCACGGCGCACAGCAAAAUAUCGAUCAGCGUCUCCACCACCGCCGGCCGCCGCAUGAAAUCCACGAUGUUGGUGUACAUGUCCCCCAUUUUCCUCCCCAAAUCAAAAAAUCCUCAAAGAGCCCCACAAAACAGAAGAAGAGGGCGAGCGACAGAGAGGAUUCGUUCUUUCUCGGUGGAUUUGAUUAAGGAGGUCAAUUGGGAAAUUCGGAUGGACGGGGUGCAAAAUUACGAGGGGAUUAAUCUACGGAGAGAUCACGCUGCGGAUAAUAUCCAGCGGUGUUGUCGGGCAAUAUCAGCGUCGUGUCGCCAGGCGGUUGGGCGGGUACUCUGGUCGGUCAGUUCACCAGGCGGUGAUGGGAGUUUGCGACCAAGCACGAGGUUUUGAGGGGGGCAUCCCGGAAUAAUAUUCCGAUAUUUGACAAGGAUGGAUGCUUAUUCUACGACGGGGACUCGGUUGGGGGAUCGAUUUCACCUACAGUCACCCUCAAGUUUAGUUAGAAUCAAUUAUGGAUGGACCCCUUGAGCCAUGUAAUUACGUGCAUGGUUCAUCUCUAAUUGUUAGGCCCAAGAAGUGUGGAUGCGAUGACUCUUAAAUUCACGAACCUCGACUGUUCGAAUAGAACAGCAACCAUGGGCCGUGGUGUUGGAAAUUUUAAAUUUUCUAUUUUCAAUUUUAUUUUUUCUCUCUUUUUUAAAUGAUUCAAACAGUUUUAAAAUUUGAUUUUAGUAGUUCCAUGUUUACUUGCAUUUAUAGAUAUCUGGUUCAUUCAAAUCAAGGUUGGGCUUUAAGGAUGAUGGGCUAGUGAUCGCAUGCAUGGGCAUGUGCUUGCCCAGCAGGCGUGCACAUGCGCAUAGCAAGGCAUGUUCGAUGAGUACAUGUGUGUGUGGGAGGCACAUAAAAGAUUCUCCGACAACAAUAGGGCCUAUACAAAGGCCCCUUACAACUUAGUCCUAUAUCCUAUAUCACAUUCCACUUAGUUUCCUUUUCCUCUUCCUUUCAAUAGAUUUUUUUCCUGCUAUUCUCUUUUUUAGUAUUUCUAAUUUUUCAUACAGGUAAUUGAAGGAGUUGAUCAGGUCAAGUCUUAUACACGAUUGUGUUUGUGAGAGGAUGAUUAAGCUAAGCAAGGUUGUUAUGCCUUAGAGAUGAUCUUGCCAUAGACUUGCACCAGGGGACGAAUUUCGUUUCCUAAGGUAGUAUUUUUUUUUUUGAUACACUUUGAUCCAAGCAAGCUUUCAAUCUUUUAAUUUUUAAAUAUUUUCUUAUUAUAAAGUUUUCAGAAAUAUUAUUUUUGCAAUAUUAACAAUUUCUAGGUGCUAGAGCUUCAACACAUACAUAUACUUUGGAGUUUGAUUAGGUGUUUGCCACACUAGUGAAACACUUUGUCCUGCCAAUGUUAGCACCCUAAAGUCUAUGUGUGUACAUUUAUGCAAUAACUACCAACCUAUAAAAUAAAUUUUAUAGUUAUUUUGAUUUUAUCUAUUCUAAAAAAAUUGAUAUGAUGGGGAAUAACCAAUAAUUGCUAGCUCAACUGGUUGGCGCCUCUCCCCCAAAAAUCUGAUUUGUGUAAGAUCUAGGGUUUAAACUGUAGUGAUCCCAAAUUAUCACCAUAUUGCUUCGAGAGAGAGAGAGAGAGAGAGAGAGAGAGAGAGAGAGAGAGAGAGAGAGAGAGAGAGAGANNNNNNNNNNNNNNNNNNNNGAGAGAGAGAGAGGAAUGAUAUAAUAAGUAUCUUUUGAUUAUUCAUGUAUUCAUGAAACGUUUCUAGCGCGUUUUUUUGCUUUUUGCUAGAGAAAAAAAAAAAAGUUUCUAGUGCGUUCAUAAAUUUAUCAAAGUGUAACAGGUGUAGAUAUUUUAGCAUUGAUCUUAGCUAAUGGAACAAUGUUGUAAUUUGGGAUCAUAUGAACACAAACUAUUUUCUUAACUAAUGUGCGUUGAAGACUGGACAUUUGCUAUCAUGGCCAUCAAUAAAAAUGUGUCAGCUUCUGUCAAAUUAGCACAAGAAAAAUCUAGCAAAUUACAUCAAUCUACAAAAAUAAUCAUAAUGUUUUAAUUAUUCUUUACGAGGUUAUUAGAGGUCAAACUACGCAGCAGCAAGUCUCAUGCAUUAAUGGUGCCCAACAUCAUAGUUCCCUCGGAUCAACAUGGAUCCAUAUAUGAGACCACCAUCAAACUAUUACAUCUAGAUCGACUCUACAAUUAUUUCAAUUUUAUUUACGAUUUUAGAUUGAUUAAAAGUUAAUUCUUCAAACCUAAUAUUUUUUAGCUUUCAGUGCAAAAUAGCCUGAUAAAAGCAGAACGUUUAAUCAAGUAAAAUGUUUAUUUUGUCAUAUUAUUUGCAAAUGUCAUGAUUCUAAAUCAUUGCCACCUAAUUGCCUAAAGAAGAUGAAGUUGUUUUGUGUUAUUACGAACUCUUUCAAUAAAGGUUUGUUUUGUUUCCGGGGAAUAAUGGAAAAUUAAUAGGAAAAGUAGGACUUUCCAUGAAAAUGAAAAAGUUUUCUAGAAAAACUUUUAUUAUUUUUUUAAUAGAAAGUAAAUAAAUAAUAGAUCUCUUAGAGAACAUAUUUUCAAGCAGUUUUCUUUCCAACCAAACAUAUCUUAAGUGGUUUUUAUAUGAGACCUAUUGAUAAUAACUACAAUAAAUUCAUGUAUGAAGUGAGGAUAUUAAGUGCACAUGUUUGUUUAUGUAAAGUCUCAGUCAAGGAAAAAUGAGUAUUCAUGUAAAUAAUUUAUAAGCUAUGGGUCUGGAAAUACGUGUAAAAUGCUCCAUGAGCUCCGUGGCUAGAACUUUGGUGAUUGAACUAAAGGGUACCAAAUACAACAUACAAGCUCAUGCGUUUUUUUUAAAAAAAAAUUAAGUAAAGGGGGAUACCAGCCCAUAUAUACUUGAAAGAUCUAUUAGCACAAAUAAUAUACCCUACUUAAAAAGAUCUCUUCGCGCAAAUAUACCAUUCACAGUACAAGAGGAUAUUGAAUAGCAAACGAGAAGGUUGUUGGAAAUUAUCUCACUUGCAAACCAAAAUGAAUCAACAAUGAUUUUGUCAAUUAGUACAUCGGAAAAAAUCAAGCUAGAACUACCUCACACACAGGCUAAAUCUUACGCAAAUACAUCAAACAGAAGGAAAACACAAGUCCAACAUUAGAAGCUACGUACACAAGCUAGCUCCCCUAGAGUUCUUGAGAAACCUAGCACCCUCCCACACCCACGUACAAGUUGAGGUGAAAAGUUAAGGUCAAUGUGGUGGGCAAAUGCCUCCAGGAUUGCUGGGAUUUCCAGUGCAAUUCGAAGGUCCAGACUGUGGCGUGAGGGACCGUCGCAUGAAGGCCUUGGAUAACAAGAGACCCGCAUACCCUUCCGGCCACCAAUGCUGUCCCAAUAGAGGCCUCGCUGCCAGAAGAGGUUGCAUGGUGGAGAUCACCAGCACCAGAAGAACGAGCUGCUUUGCACCAGGACCCAUCAUCGCACCAAGAAAAGAGUGCAAGCUUUGGGUAUGCCUUUCCUUCUAUAAGGACAGAGAUAAAUAUCCAAGGAUCUUUGAGGAUGGUGGAAGGGAGACGGGGGGGGACGAGUGUUUGAAUAGCAGCAGCACCUCCCAGUUCCAAGAGGACUUGAUCGUCGCAAGGAUCUUUGAGGAUGGUGGAAGGGAGACGAGGGGGGAACGAGUAUUUGUAUAGCAGUAGCACCUCCCAGUUCCAAGACUUGGUCGUCGCAUGGGAAACAUGAGUUCUCACCGGCGGGUUCGGGUCGUCUCUUUCACGCGAACGGAGGGUUCAUCUUCUUUCGCGACGUGGACCGCUGGAUCGCG